CUUCGUAGGCUAAUGCAUUGGCCCUUUUCGACCCGUUUUGGGGCGAAAACAAAAACUGACUCCCGGGCAUAUUUUUUUCGGCCUUUAUGGGCAAAGAACUUUAAUGGCGCUCAGAAUGAGGCCACCCAGUAGUUAGGUGUGAAUUUUCGAGACCUCUGGCACCGUUCUAAGAUGGGUCCUCUCUUCGUAGGCUAAUGCAUUGGCCCUUUUCGACCCGUUUUGGGGCGAAAACAAAAACUGACUCCGGGCAUAUUUUUUUCGGCCUUUAUGGGCAAAGAACUUUAAUGCCGCUCAGAAUGAGGCCACCAGUAGUUAGGUGUGAAUUUUCGAGACCUCUGGCACCGUUCUAAGAUGGGUCCUCUCUUUGUAGGCUAAUGCAUUGGCUCCUUUCGACCCGUUUUGGGGCGAAAACAAAACCUGACUCCCGGGCAUAUUUUUUUCGGCUUAAUGGGCAAAGAACUUUAAUGCCGCUCAGAAUGAGGCACCCAGUAGUUAGGUGUGAAUUUUCGAGACCUCUGCACCGUUCUAAGAUGGGUCCUCUCUUCGUAGGCUAAUGCGUUGGCCCUUUUUGACCCGUUUUGGAACGAAAACAAAAACUGACUCCCGGGCAUAUUUUUUUCGGCCUUUAUGGGCAAAGAACUUUGAAUGCCGCUCAGAAUGAGGCCACCCAGUAGUUAGGUGUGAAUUUUCGGAGACCCUUCUUGGCACCCGUUCUAAGAUGGUUUCGUAGGCUAAUGCAUUGGCCCUUUUUGACCCGUUUUGGGGCGAAAACAAAAACUGACUCCCGGGCAUAUUUUUUUCGGCCUUUAUGGGCAGAGAACUUUAAUACCGCUCAAAAUGAGGCCACCCAGUAGUUAGGUGUGAAUUUUCGAGACCUUUGGCACCGUUCUAAGAUGGGUCCUCUCUUCGUAGGCUAAUGCAUUGGCCCUUUUUGACCCGUUUUGGGGCGAAAACAAAAACUGACUCCCGGGCAUAUUUUUUUCGGCCUUUAUGGGCAGAGAACUUUAAUACCGCUCAAAAUGAGGCCACCCAGUAGUUAGGUGUGAAUUUUCGAGACCUUUGGCACCGUUCUAAGAUGGGUCCUCUCUUCGUAGGCUAAUGCAUUGGCCCUUUUUGACCCGUUUUGGGGCGAAAACAAAAACUGACUCCCGGGCAUAUUUUUUUCGGCCUUUAUGGGCAGAGAACUUUAAUACCGCUCAAAAUGAGGCCACCCAGUAGUUAGGUGUGAAUUUUCGAGACCUUUGGCACCGUUCUAAGAUGGGUCCUCUCUUCGUAGGCUAAUGCAUUGGCCCUUUUUGACCCGUUUUGGGGCGAAAACAAAAACUGACUCCCGGGCAUAUUUUUUUCGGCCUUUAUGGGCAGAGAACUUUAAUACCGCUCGAAAUGAGGCCACCCAGUAGUUAGGUGUGAAUUUUCGAGACCUUUGGCACCGUUCUAAGAUGGGUCCUCUCUUCGUAGGCUAAUGCAUUGGCCCUUUUUGACCCGUUUUGGGGCGAAAACAAAAACUGACUCCCGGGCAUAUUUUUUUCGGCCUUUAUGGGCAGAGAACUUUAAUACCGCUCAAAAUGAGGCCACCCAGUAGUUAGGUGUGAAUUUUCGAGACCUUUGGCACCGUUCUAAGAUGGGUCCUCUCUUCGUAGGCUAAUGCAUUGGCCCUUUUUGACCCGUUUUGGGCGAAAACAAAAACUGACUCCCGGGCAUAUUUUUUUCGGCCUUUAUGGGCAGAGAACUUUAAUACCGCUCAAAAUGAGGCCACCCAGUAGUUAGGUGUGAAUUUUCGAGACCUUUGGCACCGUUCUAAGAUGGGUCCUCUCUUCGUAGGCUAAUGCAUUGGCCCUUUUUGACCCGUUUUGGGGCGAAAACAAAAACUGACUCCCGGGCAUAUUUUUUUCGGCCUUUAUGGGCAGAGAACUUUAAUACCGCUCAAAAUGAGGCCACCCAGUAGUUAGGUGUGAAUUUUCGAGACCUUUGGCACCGUUCUAAGAUGGGUCCUCUCUUCGUAGGCUAAUGCAUUGGCCCUUUUUGGGGCGAAAACAAAAACUGACUCCCGGGCAUAUUUUUUUCGGCCUUUAUGGGCAGAGAACUUUAAUACCGCUCAAAAUGAGGCCACCCAGUAGUUAGGUGUGAAUUUUCGAGACCUUUGGCACCGUUCUAAGAUGGGUCCUCUCUUCGUAGGCUAAUGCAUUGGCCCUUUUUGACCCGUUUUGGGGCGAAAACAAAAACUGACUCCCGGCAUAUUUUUUUCGGCCUUUAUGGGCAGAGAACUUUAAUACCGCUCAAAAUGAGGCCACCCAGUAGUUAGGUGUGAAUUUUCGAGACCUUUGGCACCGUUCUAAGAUGGGUCCUCUCUUCGUAGGCUAAUGCAUUGGCCCUUUUUGACCCGUUUUGGCGAAAACAAAAACUGACUCCCGGGCAUAUUUUUUUCGGCCUUUAUGGGCAGAGAACUUUAAUACCGCUCGAAAUGAGGCCACCCAGUAGUUAGGUGUGAAUUUUCGAGACCUUUGGCACCGUUCUAAGAUGGGUCCUCUCUUCGUAGGCUAAUGCAUUGGCCCUUUUUGACCCGUUUUGGCGAAAACAAAAACUGACUCCCGGGCAUAUUUUUUUCGGCCUUUAUGGGCAGAGAACUUUAAUACCGCUCAAAAUGAGGCCACCCAGUAGUUAGGUGUGAAUUUUCGAGACCUUUGGCACCGUUCUAAGAUGGGUCCUCUCUUCGUAGGCUAAUGCAUUGGCCCUUUUUGACCCGUUUUGGGGCGAAAACAAAAACUGACUCCCGGGCAUAUUUUUUUCGGCCUUUAUGGGCAGAGAACUUUAAUACCGCUCAAAAUGAGGCCACCCAGUAGUUAGGUGUGAAUUUUCGAGACCUUUGGCACCGUUCUAAGAUGGGUCCUCUCUUCGUAGGCUAAUGCAUUGGCCCUUUUUGACCCGUUUUGGGGCGAAAACAAAAACUGACUCCCGGGCAUAUUUUUUUCGGCCUUUAUGGGCAGAGAACUUUAAUACCGCUCAAAAUGAGGCCACCCAGUAGUUAGGUGUGAAUUUUCGAGACCUUUGGCACCGUUCUAAGAUGGGUCCUCUCUUCGUAGGCUAAUGCAUUGGCCCUUUUUGACCCGUUUUGGGGCGAAAACAAAAACUGACUCCCGGGCAUAUUUUUUUCGGCCUUUAUGGGCAGAGAACUUUAAUACCGCUCAAAAUGAGGCCACCCAGUAGUUAGGUGUGAAUUUUCGAGACCUUUGGCACCGUUCUAAGAUGGGUCCUCUCUUCGUAGGCUAAUGCAUUGGCCCUUUUUGACCCGUUUUGGGGCGAAAACAAAAACUGACUCCCGGGCAUAUUUUUUUCGGCCUUUAUGGGCAGAGAACUUUAAUACCGCUCAAAAUGAGGCCACCCAGUAGUUAGGUGUGAAUUUUCGAGACCUUUGGCACCGUUCUAAGAUGGGUCCUCUCUUCGUAGGCUAAUGCAUUGGCCCUUUUUGACCCGUUUUGGGGCGAAAACAAAAACUGACUCCCGGGCAUAUUUUUUUCGGCCUUUAUGGGCAGAGAACUUUAAUACCGCUCAAAAUGAGGCCACCCAGUAGUUAGGUGUGAAUUUUCGAGACCUUUGGCACCGUUCUAAGAUGGGUCCUCUCUUCGUAGGCUAAUGCAUUGGCCCUUUUUGACCCGUUUUGGGGCGAAAACAAAAACUGACUCCCGGGCAUAUUUUUUUCGGCCUUUAUGGGCAGAGAACUUUAAUACCGCUCAAAAUGAGGCCACCCAGUAGUUAGGUGUGAAUUUUCGAGACCUUUGGCACCGUUCUAAGAUGGGUCCUCUCUUCGUAGGCUAAUGCAUUGGCCCUUUUUGACCCGUUUUGGGGCGAAAACAAAAACUGACUCCCGGGCAUAUUUUUUUCGGCCUUUAUGGGCAGAGAACUUUAAUACCGCUCAAAAUGAGGCCACCCAGUAGUUAGGUGUGAAUUUUCGAGACCUUUGGCACCGUUCUAAGAUGGGUCCUCUCUUCGUAGGCUAAUGCAUUGGCCCUUUUUGACCCGUUUUGGGGCGAAAACAAAAACUGACUCCCGGGCAUAUUUUUUUCGGCCUUUAUGGGCAGAGAACUUUAAUACCGCUCAAAAUGAGGCCACCCAGUAGUUAGGUGUGAAUUUUCGAGACCUUUGGCACCGUUCUAAGAUGGGUCCUCUCUUCGUAGGCUAAUGCAUUGGCCCUUUUUGACCCGUUUUGGGGCGAAAACAAAAACUGACUCCCGGGCAUAUUUUUUUCGGCCUUUAUGGGCAGAGAACUUUAAUACCGCUCAAAAUGAGGCCACCCAGUAGUUAGGUGUGAAUUUUCGAGACCUUUGGCACCGUUCUAAGAUGGGUCCUCUCUUCGUAGGCUAAUGCAUUGGCCCUUUUUGACCCGUUUUGGGGCGAAAACAAAAACUGACUCCCGGGCAUAUUUUUUUCGGCCUUUAUGGGCAGAGAACUUUAAUACCGCUCAAAAUGAGGCCACCCAGUAGUUAGGUGUGAAUUUUCGAGACCUUUGGCACCGUUCUAAGAUGGGUCCUCUCUUCGUAGGCUAAUGCAUUGGCCCUUUUUGACCCGUUUUGGGGCGAAAACAAAAACUGACUCCCGGGCAUAUUUUUUUCGGCCUUUAUGGGCAGAGAACUUUAAUACCGCUCAAAAUGAGGCCACCCAGUAGUUAGGUGUGAAUUUUCGAGACCUUUGGCACCGUUCUAAGAUGGGUCCUCUCUUCGUAGGCUAAUGCAUUGGCCCUUUUUGACCCGUUUUGGGGCGAAAACAAAAACUGACUCCCGGGCAUAUUUUUUUCGGCCUUUAUGGGCAGAGAACUUUAAUACCGCUCAAAAUGAGGCCACCCAGUAGUUAGGUGUGAAUUUUCGAGACCUUUGGCACCGUUCUAAGAUGGGUCCUCUCUUCGUAGGCUAAUGCAUUGGCCCUUUUUGACCCGUUUUGGGGCGAAAACAAAAACUGACUCCCGGGCAUAUUUUUUUCGGCCUUUAUGGGCAGAGAACUUUAAUACCGCUCAAAAUGAGGCCACCCAGUAGUUAGGUGUGAAUUUUCGAGACCUUUGGCACCGUUCUAAGAUGGGUCCUCUCUUCGUAGGCUAAUGCAUUGGCCCUUUUUGACCCGUUUUGGGGCGAAAACAAAAACUGACUCCCGGGCAUAUUUUUUUCGGCCUUUAUGGGCAGAGAACUUUAAUACCGCUCAAAAUGAGGCCACCCAGUAGUUAGGUGUGAAUUUUCGAGACCUUUGGCACCGUUCUAAGAUGGGUCCUCUCUUCGUAGGCUAAUGCAUUGGCCCUUUUUGACCCGUUUUGGGGCGAAAACAAAAACUGACUCCCGGGCAUAUUUUUUUCGGCCUUUAUGGGCAGAGAACUUUAAUACCGCUCAAAAUGAGGCCACCCAGUAGUUAGGUGUGAAUUUUCGAGACCUUUGGCACCGUUCUAAGAUGGGUCCUCUCUUCGUAGGCUAAUGCAUUGGCCCUUUUUGACCCGUUUUGGGGCGAAAACAAAAACUGACUCCCGGGCAUAUUUUUUUCGGCCUUUAUGGGCAGAGAACUUUAAUACCGCUCAAAAUGAGGCCACCCAGUAGUUAGGUGUGAAUUUUCGAGACCUUUGGCACCGUUCUAAGAUGGGUCCUCUCUUCGUAGGCUAAUGCAUUGGCCCUUUUUGACCCGUUUUGGGGCGAAAACAAAAACUGACUCCCGGGCAUAUUUUUUUCGGCCUUUAUGGGCAGAGAACUUUAAUACCGCUCAAAAUGAGGCCACCCAGUAGUUAGGUGUGAAUUUUCGAGACCUUUGGCACCGUUCUAAGAUGGGUCCUCUCUUCGUAGGCUAAUGCAUUGGCCCUUUUUGACCCGUUUUGGGGCGAAAACAAAAACUGACUCCCGGGCAUAUUUUUUUCGGCCUUUAUGGGCAGAGAACUUUAAUACCGCUCAAAAUGAGGCCACCCAGUAGUUAGGUGUGAAUUUUCGAGACCUUUGGCACCGUUCUAAGAUGGGUCCUCUCUUCGUAGGCUAAUGCAUUGGCCCUUUUUGACCCGUUUUGGGGCGAAAACAAAAACUGACUCCCGGGCAUAUUUUUUUCGGCCUUUAUGGGCAGAGAACUUUAAUACCGCUCAAAAUGAGGCCACCCAGUAGUUAGGUGUGAAUUUUCGAGACCUUUGGCACCGUUCUAAGAUGGGUCCUCUCUUCGUAGGCUAAUGCAUUGGCCCUUUUUGACCCGUUUUGGGGCGAAAACAAAAACUGACUCCCGGGCAUAUUUUUUUCGGCCUUUAUGGGCAGAGAACUUUAAUACCGCUCAAAAUGAGGCCACCCAGUAGUUAGGUGUGAAUUUUCGAGACCUUUGGCACCGUUCUAAGAUGGGUCCUCUCUUCGUAGGCUAAUGCAUUGGCCCUUUUUGACCCGUUUUGGGGCGAAAACAAAAACUGACUCCCGGGCAUAUUUUUUUCGGCCUUUAUGGGCAGAGAACUUUAAUACCGCUCAAAAUGAGGCCACCCAGUAGUUAGGUGUGAAUUUUCGAGACCUUUGGCACCGUUCUAAGAUGGGUCCUCUCUUCGUAGGCUAAUGCAUUGGCCCUUUUUGACCCGUUUUGGGGCGAAAACAAAAACUGACUCCCGGGCAUAUUUUUUUCGGCCUUUAUGGGCAGAGAACUUUAAUACCGCUCAAAAUGAGGCCACCCAGUAGUUAGGUGUGAAUUUUCGAGACCUUUGGCACCGUUCUAAGAUGGGUCCUCUCUUCGUAGGCUAAUGCAUUGGCCCUUUUUGACCCGUUUUGGGGCGAAAACAAAAACUGACUCCCGGGCAUAUUUUUUUCGGCCUUUAUGGGCAGAGAACUUUAAUACCGCUCAAAAUGAGGCCACCCAGUAGUUAGGUGUGAAUUUUCGAGACCUUUGGCACCGUUCUAAGAUGGGUCCUCUCUUCGUAGGCUAAUGCAUUGGCCCUUUUUGACCCGUUUUGGGGCGAAAACAAAAACUGACUCCCGGGCAUAUUUUUUUCGGCCUUUAUGGGCAGAGAACUUUAAUACCGCUCAAAAUGAGGCCACCCAGUAGUUAGGUGUGAAUUUUCGAGACCUUUGGCACCGUUCUAAGAUGGGUCCUCUCUUCGUAGGCUAAUGCAUUGGCCCUUUUUGACCCGUUUUGGGGCGAAAACAAAAACUGACUCCCGGGCAUAUUUUUUUCGGCCUUUAUGGGCAGAGAACUUUAAUACCGCUCAAAAUGAGGCCACCCAGUAGUUAGGUGUGAAUUUUCGAGACCUUUGGCACCGUUCUAAGAUGGGUCCUCUCUUCGUAGGCUAAUGCAUUGGCCCUUUUUGACCCGUUUUGGGGCGAAAACAAAAACUGACUCCCGGGCAUAUUUUUUUCGGCCUUUAUGGGCAGAGAACUUUAAUACCGCUCAAAAUGAGGCCACCCAGUAGUUAGGUGUGAAUUUUCGAGACCUUUGGCACCGUUCUAAGAUGGGUCCUCUCUUCGUAGGCUAAUGCAUUGGCCCUUUUUGACCCGUUUUGGGGCGAAAACAAAAACUGACUCCCGGGCAUAUUUUUUUCGGCCUUUAUGGGCAGAGAACUUUAAUACCGCUCAAAAUGAGGCCACCCAGUAGUUAGGUGUGAAUUUUCGAGACCUUUGGCACCGUUCUAAGAUGGGUCCUCUCUUCGUAGGCUAAUGCAUUGGCCCUUUUUGACCCGUUUUGGGGCGAAAACAAAAACUGACUCCCGGGCAUAUUUUUUUCGGCCUUUAUGGGCAGAGAACUUUAAUACCGCUCAAAAUGAGGCCACCCAGUAGUUAGGUGUGAAUUUUCGAGACCUUUGGCACCGUUCUAAGAUGGGUCCUCUCUUCGUAGGCUAAUGCAUUGGCCCUUUUUGACCCGUUUUGGGGCGAAAACAAAAACUGACUCCCGGGCAUAUUUUUUUCGGCCUUUAUGGGCAGAGAACUUUAAUACCGCUCAAAAUGAGGCCACCCAGUAGUUAGGUGUGAAUUUUCGAGACCUUUGGCACCGUUCUAAGAUGGGUCCUCUCUUCGUAGGCUAAUGCAUUGGCCCUUUUUGACCCGUUUUGGGGCGAAAACAAAAACUGACUCCCGGGCAUAUUUUUUUCGGCCUUUAUGGGCAGAGAACUUUAAUACCGCUCAAAAUGAGGCCACCCAGUAGUUAGGUGUGAAUUUUCGAGACCUUUGGCACCGUUCUAAGAUGGGUCCUCUCUUCGUAGGCUAAUGCAUUGGCCCUUUUUGACCCGUUUUGGGGCGAAAACAAAAACUGACUCCCGGGCAUAUUUUUUUCGGCCUUUAUGGGCAGAGAACUUUAAUACCGCUCAAAAUGAGGCCACCCAGUAGUUAGGUGUGAAUUUUCGAGACCUUUGGCACCGUUCUAAGAUGGGUCCUCUCUUCGUAGGCUAAUGCAUUGGCCCUUUUUGACCCGUUUUGGGGCGAAAACAAAAACUGACUCCCGGGCAUAUUUUUUUCGGCCUUUAUGGGCAGAGAACUUUAAUACCGCUCAAAAUGAGGCCACCCAGUAGUUAGGUGUGAAUUUUCGAGACCUUUGGCACCGUUCUAAGAUGGGUCCUCUCUUCGUAGGCUAAUGCAUUGGCCCUUUUUGACCCGUUUUGGGGCGAAAACAAAAACUGACUCCCGGGCAUAUUUUUUUCGGCCUUUAUGGGCAGAGAACUUUAAUACCGCUCAAAAUGAGGCCACCCAGUAGUUAGGUGUGAAUUUUCGAGACCUUUGGCACCGUUCUAAGAUGGGUCCUCUCUUCGUAGGCUAAUGCAUUGGCCCUUUUUGACCCGUUUUGGGGCGAAAACAAAAACUGACUCCCGGGCAUAUUUUUUUCGGCCUUUAUGGGCAGAGAACUUUAAUACCGCUCAAAAUGAGGCCACCCAGUAGUUAGGUGUGAAUUUUCGAGACCUUUGGCACCGUUCUAAGAUGGGUCCUCUCUUCGUAGGCUAAUGCAUUGGCCCUUUUUGACCCGUUUUGGGGCGAAAACAAAAACUGACUCCCGGGCAUAUUUUUUUCGGCCUUUAUGGGCAGAGAACUUUAAUACCGCUCAAAAUGAGGCCACCCAGUAGUUAGGUGUGAAUUUUCGAGACCUUUGGCACCGUUCUAAGAUGGGUCCUCUCUUCGUAGGCUAAUGCAUUGGCCCUUUUUGACCCGUUUUGGGGCGAAAACAAAAACUGACUCCCGGGCAUAUUUUUUUCGGCCUUUAUGGGCAGAGAACUUUAAUACCGCUCAAAAUGAGGCCACCCAGUAGUUAGGUGUGAAUUUUCGAGACCUUUGGCACCGUUCUAAGAUGGGUCCUCUCUUCGUAGGCUAAUGCAUUGGCCCUUUUUGACCCGUUUUGGGGCGAAAACAAAAACUGACUCCCGGGCAUAUUUUUUUCGGCCUUUAUGGGCAGAGAACUUUAAUACCGCUCAAAAUGAGGCCACCCAGUAGUUAGGUGUGAAUUUUCGAGACCUUUGGCACCGUUCUAAGAUGGGUCCUCUCUUCGUAGGCUAAUGCAUUGGCCCUUUUUGACCCGUUUUGGGGCGAAAACAAAAACUGACUCCCGGGCAUAUUUUUUUCGGCCUUUAUGGGCAGAGAACUUUAAUACCGCUCAAAAUGAGGCCACCCAGUAGUUAGGUGUGAAUUUUCGAGACCUUUGGCACCGUUCUAAGAUGGGUCCUCUCUUCGUAGGCUAAUGCAUUGGCCCUUUUUGACCCGUUUUGGGGCGAAAACAAAAACUGACUCCCGGGCAUAUUUUUUUCGGCCUUUAUGGGCAGAGAACUUUAAUACCGCUCAAAAUGAGGCCACCCAGUAGUUAGGUGUGAAUUUUCGAGACCUUUGGCACCGUUCUAAGAUGGGUCCUCUCUUCGUAGGCUAAUGCAUUGGCCCUUUUUGACCCGUUUUGGGGCGAAAACAAAAACUGACUCCCGGGCAUAUUUUUUUCGGCCUUUAUGGGCAGAGAACUUUAAUACCGCUCAAAAUGAGGCCACCCAGUAGUUAGGUGUGAAUUUUCGAGACCUUUGGCACCGUUCUAAGAUGGGUCCUCUCUUCGUAGGCUAAUGCAUUGGCCCUUUUUGACCCGUUUUGGGGCGAAAACAAAAACUGACUCCCGGGCAUAUUUUUUUCGGCCUUUAUGGGCAGAGAACUUUAAUACCGCUCAAAAUGAGGCCACCCAGUAGUUAGGUGUGAAUUUUCGAGACCUUUGGCACCGUUCUAAGAUGGGUCCUCUCUUCGUAGGCUAAUGCAUUGGCCCUUUUUGACCCGUUUUGGGGCGAAAACAAAAACUGACUCCCGGGCAUAUUUUUUUCGGCCUUUAUGGGCAGAGAACUUUAAUACCGCUCAAAAUGAGGCCACCCAGUAGUUAGGUGUGAAUUUUCGAGACCUUUGGCACCGUUCUAAGAUGGGUCCUCUCUUCGUAGGCUAAUGCAUUGGCCCUUUUUGACCCGUUUUGGGGCGAAAACAAAAACUGACUCCCGGGCAUAUUUUUUUCGGCCUUUAUGGGCAGAGAACUUUAAUACCGCUCAAAAUGAGGCCACCCAGUAGUUAGGUGUGAAUUUUCGAGACCUUUGGCACCGUUCUAAGAUGGGUCCUCUCUUCGUAGGCUAAUGCAUUGGCCCUUUUUGACCCGUUUUGGGGCGAAAACAAAAACUGACUCCCGGGCAUAUUUUUUUCGGCCUUUAUGGGCAGAGAACUUUAAUACCGCUCAAAAUGAGGCCACCCAGUAGUUAGGUGUGAAUUUUCGAGACCUUUGGCACCGUUCUAAGAUGGGUCCUCUCUUCGUAGGCUAAUGCAUUGGCCCUUUUUGACCCGUUUUGGGGCGAAAACAAAAACUGACUCCCGGGCAUAUUUUUUUCGGCCUUUAUGGGCAGAGAACUUUAAUACCGCUCAAAAUGAGGCCACCCAGUAGUUAGGUGUGAAUUUUCGAGACCUUUGGCACCGUUCUAAGAUGGGUCCUCUCUUCGUAGGCUAAUGCAUUGGCCCUUUUUGACCCGUUUUGGGGCGAAAACAAAAACUGACUCCCGGGCAUAUUUUUUUCGGCCUUUAUGGGCAGAGAACUUUAAUACCGCUCAAAAUGAGGCCACCCAGUAGUUAGGUGUGAAUUUUCGAGACCUUUGGCACCGUUCUAAGAUGGGUCCUCUCUUCGUAGGCUAAUGCAUUGGCCCUUUUUGACCCGUUUUGGGGCGAAAACAAAAACUGACUCCCGGGCAUAUUUUUUUCGGCCUUUAUGGGCAGAGAACUUUAAUACCGCUCAAAAUGAGGCCACCCAGUAGUUAGGUGUGAAUUUUCGAGACCUUUGGCACCGUUCUAAGAUGGGUCCUCUCUUCGUAGGCUAAUGCAUUGGCCCUUUUUGACCCGUUUUGGGGCGAAAACAAAAACUGACUCCCGGGCAUAUUUUUUUCGGCCUUUAUGGGCAGAGAACUUUAAUACCGCUCAAAAUGAGGCCACCCAGUAGUUAGGUGUGAAUUUUCGAGACCUUUGGCACCGUUCUAAGAUGGGUCCUCUCUUCGUAGGCUAAUGCAUUGGCCCUUUUUGACCCGUUUUGGGGCGAAAACAAAAACUGACUCCCGGGCAUAUUUUUUUCGGCCUUUAUGGGCAGAGAACUUUAAUACCGCUCAAAAUGAGGCCACCCAGUAGUUAGGUGUGAAUUUUCGAGACCUUUGGCACCGUUCUAAGAUGGGUCCUCUCUUCGUAGGCUAAUGCAUUGGCCCUUUUUGACCCGUUUUGGGGCGAAAACAAAAACUGACUCCCGGGCAUAUUUUUUCGGCCUUUAUGGGCAGAGAACUUUAAUACCGCUCAAAAUGAGGCCACCCAGUAGUUAGGUGUGAAUUUUCGAGACCUUUGGCACCGUUCUAAGAUGGGUCCUCUCUUCGUAGGCUAAUGCAUUGGCCCUUUUUGACCCGUUUUGGGGCGAAAACAAAAACUGACUCCCGGGCAUAUUUUUUUCGGCCUUUAUGGGCAGAGAACUUUAAUACCGCUCAAAAUGAGGCCACCCAGUAGUUAGGUGUGAAUUUUCGAGACCUUUGGCACCGUUCUAAGAUGGGUCCUCUCUUCGUAGGCUAAUGCAUUGGCCCUUUUUCCCACAAAAAGCGCUCGGAGAUGCCCAGACUCAGUUUUUAUUUUCGUCCCAAUACUUUUCUUCCCAUGGUUUAGUUGUGUUUCUUUGAUCUUGUGCAACCUAUUUAGACCGAUGAUAGCCCGCGGAUGGGUGUGGAAACCCAUCUAUAUUGCACCCAGUAGGACACAGAAAAAAAGCCCAGGGCCUAGGGGUCGGGUGGGGCUCGUUCGGGGUGCACAACGGUUGCGCCAAAAACGGUCCAAAAAUGGCCAAGGCUUUACCACACGAAAAAUCGGCCGAUUUUUAACCAUGUGAGAAACGUCCCGAAAGUUCACAGAUAACUACUAGGCGGCCUCACUCUGAGUAAUAUCAAAGUUUUUUCCCACAAAAAGCGCUCGGAGAUGCCCAGACUCAGUUUUUAUUUUCGUCCCAAUACUUUUCUUCCCAUGGUUUAGUUGUGUUUCUUUGAUCUUGUGCAACCUAUUUAGACCGAUGAUAGCCCGCGGAUGGGUGUGGAAACCCAUCUAUAUUGCACCCAGUAGGACACAGAAAAAAAGCCCAGGGCCUAGGGGUCGGGUGGGGCUCGUUCGGGGUGCACAACGGUUGCGCCAAAAACGGUCCAAAAAUGGCCAAGGCUUUACCACACGAAAAAUCGGCCGAUUUUUAACCAUGUGAGAAACGUCCCGAAAGUUCACAGAUAACUACUAGGCGGCCUCACUCUGAGUAAUAUCAAAGUUUUUUCCCACAAAAAGCGCUCGGAGAUGCCCAGACUCAGUUUUUAUUUUCGUCCCAAUACUUUUCUUCCCAUGGUUUAGUUGUGUCUCUUUGAUCUUGUGCAACCUAUUUAGACCGAUGAUAGCCCGCGGAUGGGUGUGGAAACCCAUCUAUAUUGCACCCAGUAGGACACAGAAAAAAAGCCCAGGGCCUAGGGGUCGGGUGGGGCUCGUUCGGGGUGCACAACGGUUGCGCCAAAAACGGUCCAAAAAUGGCCAAGGCUUUACCACACGAAAAAUCGGCCGAUUUUUAACCAUGUGAGAAACGUCCCGAAAGUUCACAGAUAACUACUAGGCGGCCUCACUCUGAGUAAUAUCAAAGUUUUUUCCCACAAAAAGCGCUCGGAGAUGCCCAGACUCAGUUUUUAUUUUCGUCCCAAUACUUUUCUUCCCAUGGUUUAGUUGUGUCUCUUUGAUCUUGUGCAACCUAUUUAGACCGAUGAUAGCCCGCGGAUGGGUGUGGAAACCCAUCUAUAUUGCACCCAGUAGGACACAGAAAAAAAGCCCAGGGCCUAGGGGUCGGGUGGGGCUCGUUCGGGGUGCACAACGGUUGCGCCAAAAACGGUCCAAAAAUGGCCAAGGCUUUACCACACGAAAAAUCGGCCGAUUUUUAACCAUGUGAGAAACGUCCCGAAAGUUCACAGAUAACUACUAGGCGGCCUCACUCUGAGUAAUAUCAAAGUUUUUUCCCACAAAAAGCGCUCGGAGAUGCCCAGACUCAGUUUUUAUUUUCGUCCCAAUACUUUUCUUCCCAUGGUUUAGUUGUGUCUCUUUGAUCUUGUGCAACCUAUUUAGACCGAUGAUAGCCCGCGGAUGGGUGUGGAAACCCAUCUAUAUUGCACCCAGUAGGACACAGAAAAAAAGCCCAGGGCCUAGGGGUCGGGUGGGGCUCGUUCGGGGUGCACAACGGUUGCGCCAAAAACGGUCCAAAAAUGGCCAAGGCUUUACCACACGAAAAAUCGGCCGAUUUUUAACCAUGUGAGAAACGUCCCGAAAGUUCACAGAUAACUACUAGGCGGCCUCACUCUGAGUAAUAUCAAAGUUUUUUCCCACAAAAAGCGCUCGGAGAUGCCCAGACUCAGUUUUUAUUUUCGUCCCAAUACUUUUCUUCCCAUGGUUUAGUUGUGUCUCUUUGAUCUUGUGCAACCUAUUUAGACCGAUGAUAGCCCGCGGAUGGGUGUGGAAACCCAUCUAUAUUGCACCCAGUAGGACACAGAAAAAAAGCCCAGGGCCUAGGGGUCGGGUGGGGCUCGUUCGGGGUGCACAACGGUUGCGCCAAAAACGGUCCAAAAAUGGCCAAGGCUUUACCACACGAAAAAUCGGCCGAUUUUUAACCAUGUGAGAAACGUCCCGAAAGUUCACAGAUAACUACUAGGCGGCCUCACUCUGAGUAAUAUCAAAGUUUUUUCCCACAAAAAGCGCUCGGAGAUGCCCAGACUCAGUUUUUAUUUUCGUCCCAAUACUUUUCUUCCCAUGGUUUAGUUGUGUCUCUUUGAUCUUGUGCAACCUAUUUAGACCGAUGAUAGCCCGCGGAUGGGUGUGGAAACCCAUCUAUAUUGCACCCAGUAGGACACAGAAAAAAAGCCCAGGGCCUAGGGGUCGGGUGGGGCUCGUUCGGGGUGCACAACGGUUGCGCCAAAAACGGUCCAAAAAUGGCCAAGGCUUUACCACACGAAAAAUCGGCCGAUUUUUAACCAUGUGAGAAACGUCCCGAAAGUUCACAGAUAACUACUAGGCGGCCUCACUCUGAGUAAUAUCAAAGUUUUUUCCCACAAAAAGCGCUCGGAGAUGCCCAGACUCAGUUUUUAUUUUCGUCCCAAUACUUUUCUUCCCAUGGUUUAGUUGUGUCUCUUUGAUCUUGUGCAACCUAUUUAGACCGAUGAUAGCCCGCGGAUGGGUGUGGAAACCCAUCUAUAUUGCACCCAGUAGGACACAGAAAAAAAGCCCAGGGCCUAGGGGUCGGGUGGGGCUCGUUCGGGGUGCACAACGGUUGCGCCAAAAACGGUCCAAAAAUGGCCAAGGCUUUACCACACGAAAAAUCGGCCGAUUUUUAACCAUGUGAGAAACGUCCCGAAAGUUCACAGAUAACUACUAGGCGGCCUCACUCUGAGUAAUAUCAAAGUUUUUUCCCACAAAAAGCGCUCGGAGAUGCCCAGACUCAGUUUUUAUUUUCGUCCCAAUACUUUUCUUCCCAUGGUUUAGUUGUGUCUCUUUGAUCUUGUGCAACCUAUUUAGACCGAUGAUAGCCCGCGGAUGGGUGUGGAAACCCAUCUAUAUUGCACCCAGUAGGACACAGAAAAAAAGCCCAGGGCCUAGGGGUCGGGUGGGGCUCGUUCGGGGUGCACAACGGUUGCGCCAAAAACGGUCCAAAAAUGGCCAAGGCUUUACCACACGAAAAAUCGGCCGAUUUUUAACCAUGUGAGAAACGUCCCGAAAGUUCACAGAUAACUACUAGGCGGCCUCACUCUGAGUAAUAUCAAAGUUUUUUCCCACAAAAAGCGCUCGGAGAUGCCCAGACUCAGUUUUUAUUUUCGUCCCAAUACUUUUCUUCCCAUGGUUUAGUUGUGUCUCUUUGAUCUUGUGCAACCUAUUUAGACCGAUGAUAGCCCGCGGAUGGGUGUGGAAACCCAUCUAUAUUGCACCCAGUAGGACACAGAAAAAAAGCCCAGGGCCUAGGGGUCGGGUGGGGCUCGUUCGGGGUGCACAACGGUUGCGCCAAAAACGGUCCAAAAAUGGCCAAGGCUUUACCACACGAAAAAUCGGCCGAUUUUUAACCAUGUGAGAAACGUCCCGAAAGUUCACAGAUAACUACUAGGCGGCCUCACUCUGAGUAAUAUCAAAGUUUUUUCCCACAAAAAGCGCUCGGAGAUGCCCAGACUCAGUUUUUAUUUUCGUCCCAAUACUUUUCUUCCCAUGGUUUAGUUGUGUCUCUUUGAUCUUGUGCAACCUAUUUAGACCGAUGAUAGCCCGCGGAUGGGUGUGGAAACCCAUCUAUAUUGCACCCAGUAGGACACAGAAAAAAAGCCCAGGGCCUAGGGGUCGGGUGGGGCUCGUUCGGGGUGCACAACGGUUGCGCCAAAAACGGUCCAAAAAUGGCCAAGGCUUUACCACACGAAAAAUCGGCCGAUUUUUAACCAUGUGAGAAACGUCCCGAAAGUUCACAGAUAACUACUAGGCGGCCUCACUCUGAGUAAUAUCAAAGUUUUUUCCCACAAAAAGCGCUCGGAGAUGCCCAGACUCAGUUUUUAUUUUCGUCCCAAUACUUUUCUUCCCAUGGUUUAGUUGUGUCUCUUUGAUCUUGUGCAACCUAUUUAGACCGAUGAUAGCCCGCGGAUGGGUGUGGAAACCCAUCUAUAUUGCACCCAGUAGGACACAGAAAAAAAGCCCAGGGCCUAGGGGUCGGGUGGGGCUCGUUCGGGGUGCACAACGGUUGCGCCAAAAACGGUCCAAAAAUGGCCAAGGCUUUACCACACGAAAAAUCGGCCGAUUUUUAACCAUGUGAGAAACGUCCCGAAAGUUCACAGAUAACUACUAGGCGGCCUCACUCUGAGUAAUAUCAAAGUUUUUUCCCACAAAAAGCGCUCGGAGAUGCCCAGACUCAGUUUUUAUUUUCGUCCCAAUACUUUUCUUCCCAUGGUUUAGUUGUGUCUCUUUGAUCUUGUGCAACCUAUUUAGACCGAUGAUAGCCCGCGGAUGGGUGUGGAAACCCAUCUAUAUUGCACCCAGUAGGACACAGAAAAAAAGCCCAGGGCCUAGGGGUCGGGUGGGGCUCGUUCGGGGUGCACAACGGUUGCGCCAAAAACGGUCCAAAAAUGGCCAAGGCUUUACCACACGAAAAAUCGGCCGAUUUUUAACCAUGUGAGAAACGUCCCGAAAGUUCACAGAUAACUACUAGGCGGCCUCACUCUGAGUAAUAUCAAAGUUUUUUCCCACAAAAAGCGCUCGGAGAUGCCCAGACUCAGUUUUUAUUUUCGUCCCAAUACUUUUCUUCCCAUGGUUUAGUUGUGUCUCUUUGAUCUUGUGCAACCUAUUUAGACCGAUGAUAGCCCGCGGAUGGGUGUGGAAACCCAUCUAUAUUGCACCCAGUAGGACACAGAAAAAAAGCCCAGGGCCUAGGGGUCGGGUGGGGCUCGUUCGGGGUGCACAACGGUUGCGCCAAAAACGGUCCAAAAAUGGCCAAGGCUUUACCACACGAAAAAUCGGCCGAUUUUUAACCAUGUGAGAAACGUCCCGAAAGUUCACAGAUAACUACUAGGCGGCCUCACUCUGAGUAAUAUCAAAGUUUUUUCCCACAAAAAGCGCUCGGAGAUGCCCAGACUCAGUUUUUAUUUUCGUCCCAAUACUUUUCUUCCCAUGGUUUAGUUGUGUCUCUUUGAUCUUGUGCAACCUAUUUAGACCGAUGAUAGCCCGCGGAUGGGUGUGGAAACCCAUCUAUAUUGCACCCAGUAGGACACAGAAAAAAAGCCCAGGGCCUAGGGGUCGGGUGGGGCUCGUUCGGGGUGCACAACGGUUGCGCCAAAAACGGUCCAAAAAUGGCCAAGGCUUUACCACACGAAAAAUCGGCCGAUUUUUAACCAUGUGAGAAACGUCCCGAAAGUUCACAGAUAACUACUAGGCGGCCUCACUCUGAGUAAUAUCAAAGUUUUUUCCCACAAAAAGCGCUCGGAGAUGCCCAGACUCAGUUUUUAUUUUCGUCCCAAUACUUUUCUUCCCAUGGUUUAGUUGUGUCUCUUUGAUCUUGUGCAACCUAUUUAGACCGAUGAUAGCCCGCGGAUGGGUGUGGAAACCCAUCUAUAUUGCACCCAGUAGGACACAGAAAAAAAGCCCAGGGCCUAGGGGUCGGGUGGGGCUCGUUCGGGGUGCACAACGGUUGCGCCAAAAACGGUCCAAAAAUGGCCAAGGCUUUACCACACGAAAAAUCGGCCGAUUUUUAACCAUGUGAGAAACGUCCCGAAAGUUCACAGAUAACUACUAGGCGGCCUCACUCUGAGUAAUAUCAAAGUUUUUUCCCACAAAAAGCGCUCGGAGAUGCCCAGACUCAGUUUUUAUUUUCGUCCCAAUACUUUUCUUCCCAUGGUUUAGUUGUGUCUCUUUGAUCUUGUGCAACCUAUUUAGACCGAUGAUAGCCCGCGGAUGGGUGUGGAAACCCAUCUAUAUUGCACCCAGUAGGACACAGAAAAAAAGCCCAGGGCCUAGGGGUCGGGUGGGGCUCGUUCGGGGUGCACAACGGUUGCGCCAAAAACGGUCCAAAAAUGGCCAAGGCUUUACCACACGAAAAAUCGGCCGAUUUUUAACCAUGUGAGAAACGUCCCGAAAGUUCACAGAUAACUACUAGGCGGCCUCACUCUGAGUAAUAUCAAAGUUUUUUCCCACAAAAAGCGCUCGGAGAUGCCCAGACUCAGUUUUUAUUUUCGUCCCAAUACUUUUCUUCCCAUGGUUUAGUUGUGUCUCUUUGAUCUUGUGCAACCUAUUUAGACCGAUGAUAGCCCGCGGAUGGGUGUGGAAACCCAUCUAUAUUGCACCCAGUAGGACACAGAAAAAAAGCCCAGGGCCUAGGGGUCGGGUGGGGCUCGUUCGGGGUGCACAACGGUUGCGCCAAAAACGGUCCAAAAAUGGCCAAGGCUUUACCACACGAAAAAUCGGCCGAUUUUUAACCAUGUGAGAAACGUCCCGAAAGUUCACAGAUAACUACUAGGCGGCCUCACUCUGAGUAAUAUCAAAGUUUUUUCCCACAAAAAGCGCUCGGAGAUGCCCAGACUCAGUUUUUAUUUUCGUCCCAAUACUUUUCUUCCCAUGGUUUAGUUGUGUCUCUUUGAUCUUGUGCAACCUAUUUAGACCGAUGAUAGCCCGCGGAUGGGUGUGGAAACCCAUCUAUAUUGCACCCAGUAGGACACAGAAAAAAAGCCCAGGGCCUAGGGGUCGGGUGGGGCUCGUUCGGGGUGCACAACGGUUGCGCCAAAAACGGUCCAAAAAUGGCCAAGGCUUUACCACACGAAAAAUCGGCCGAUUUUUAACCAUGUGAGAAACGUCCCGAAAGUUCACAGAUAACUACUAGGCGGCCUCACUCUGAGUAAUAUCAAAGUUUUUUCCCACAAAAAGCGCUCGGAGAUGCCCAGACUCAGUUUUUAUUUUCGUCCCAAUACUUUUCUUCCCAUGGUUUAGUUGUGUCUCUUUGAUCUUGUGCAACCUAUUUAGACCGAUGAUAGCCCGCGGAUGGGUGUGGAAACCCAUCUAUAUUGCACCCAGUAGGACACAGAAAAAAAGCCCAGGGCCUAGGGGUCGGGUGGGGCUCGUUCGGGGUGCACAACGGUUGCGCCAAAAACGGUCCAAAAAUGGCCAAGGCUUUACCACACGAAAAAUCGGCCGAUUUUUAACCAUGUGAGAAACGUCCCGAAAGUUCACAGAUAACUACUAGGCGGCCUCACUCUGAGUAAUAUCAAAGUUUUUUCCCACAAAAAGCGCUCGGAGAUGCCCAGACUCAGUUUUUAUUUUCGUCCCAAUACUUUUCUUCCCAUGGUUUAGUUGUGUCUCUUUGAUCUUGUGCAACCUAUUUAGACCGAUGAUAGCCCGCGGAUGGGUGUGGAAACCCAUCUAUAUUGCACCCAGUAGGACACAGAAAAAAAGCCCAGGGCCUAGGGGUCGGGUGGGGCUCGUUCGGGGUGCACAACGGUUGCGCCAAAAACGGUCCAAAAAUGGCCAAGGCUUUACCACACGAAAAAUCGGCCGAUUUUUAACCAUGUGAGAAACGUCCCGAAAGUUCACAGAUAACUACUAGGCGGCCUCACUCUGAGUAAUAUCAAAGUUUUUUCCCACAAAAAGCGCUCGGAGAUGCCCAGACUCAGUUUUUAUUUUCGUCCCAAUACUUUUCUUCCCAUGGUUUAGUUGUGUCUCUUUGAUCUUGUGCAACCUAUUUAGACCGAUGAUAGCCCGCGGAUGGGUGUGGAAACCCAUCUAUAUUGCACCCAGUAGGACACAGAAAAAAAGCCCAGGGCCUAGGGGUCGGGUGGGGCUCGUUCGGGGUGCACAACGGUUGCGCCAAAAACGGUCCAAAAAUGGCCAAGGCUUUACCACACGAAAAAUCGGCCGAUUUUUAACCAUGUGAGAAACGUCCCGAAAGUUCACAGAUAACUACUAGGCGGCCUCACUCUGAGUAAUAUCAAAGUUUUUUCCCACAAAAAGCGCUCGGAGAUGCCCAGACUCAGUUUUUAUUUUCGUCCCAAUACUUUUCUUCCCAUGGUUUAGUUGUGUCUCUUUGAUCUUGUGCAACCUAUUUAGACCGAUGAUAGCCCGCGGAUGGGUGUGGAAACCCAUCUAUAUUGCACCCAGUAGGACACAGAAAAAAAGCCCAGGGCCUAGGGGUCGGGUGGGGCUCGUUCGGGGUGCACAACGGUUGCGCCAAAAACGGUCCAAAAAUGGCCAAGGCUUUACCACACGAAAAAUCGGCCGAUUUUUAACCAUGUGAGAAACGUCCCGAAAGUUCACAGAUAACUACUAGGCGGCCUCACUCUGAGUAAUAUCAAAGUUUUUUCCCACAAAAAGCGCUCGGAGAUGCCCAGACUCAGUUUUUAUUUUCGUCCCAAUACUUUUCUUCCCAUGGUUUAGUUGUGUCUCUUUGAUCUUGUGCAACCUAUUUAGACCGAUGAUAGCCCGCGGAUGGGUGUGGAAACCCAUCUAUAUUGCACCCAGUAGGACACAGAAAAAAAGCCCAGGGCCUAGGGGUCGGGUGGGGCUCGUUCGGGGUGCACAACGGUUGCGCCAAAAACGGUCCAAAAAUGGCCAAGGCUUUACCACACGAAAAAUCGGCCGAUUUUUAACCAUGUGAGAAACGUCCCGAAAGUUCACAGAUAACUACUAGGCGGCCUCACUCUGAGUAAUAUCAAAGUUUUUUCCCACAAAAAGCGCUCGGAGAUGCCCAGACUCAGUUUUUAUUUUCGUCCCAAUACUUUUCUUCCCAUGGUUUAGUUGUGUCUCUUUGAUCUUGUGCAACCUAUUUAGACCGAUGAUAGCCCGCGGAUGGGUGUGGAAACCCAUCUAUAUUGCACCCAGUAGGACACAGAAAAAAAGCCCAGGGCCUAGGGGUCGGGUGGGGCUCGUUCGGGGUGCACAACGGUUGCGCCAAAAACGGUCCAAAAAUGGCCAAGGCUUUACCACACGAAAAAUCGGCCGAUUUUUAACCAUGUGAGAAACGUCCCGAAAGUUCACAGAUAACUACUAGGCGGCCUCACUCUGAGUAAUAUCAAAGUUUUUUCCCACAAAAAGCGCUCGGAGAUGCCCAGACUCAGUUUUUAUUUUCGUCCCAAUACUUUUCUUCCCAUGGUUUAGUUGUGUCUCUUUGAUCUUGUGCAACCUAUUUAGACCGAUGAUAGCCCGCGGAUGGGUGUGGAAACCCAUCUAUAUUGCACCCAGUAGGACACAGAAAAAAAGCCCAGGGCCUAGGGGUCGGGUGGGGCUCGUUCGGGGUGCACAACGGUUGCGCCAAAAACGGUCCAAAAAUGGCCAAGGCUUUACCACACGAAAAAUCGGCCGAUUUUUAACCAUGUGAGAAACGUCCCGAAAGUUCACAGAUAACUACUAGGCGGCCUCACUCUGAGUAAUAUCAAAGUUUUUUCCCACAAAAAGCGCUCGGAGAUGCCCAGACUCAGUUUUUAUUUUCGUCCCAAUACUUUUCUUCCCAUGGUUUAGUUGUGUCUCUUUGAUCUUGUGCAACCUAUUUAGACCGAUGAUAGCCCGCGGAUGGGUGUGGAAACCCAUCUAUAUUGCACCCAGUAGGACACAGAAAAAAAGCCCAGGGCCUAGGGGUCGGGUGGGGCUCGUUCGGGGUGCACAACGGUUGCGCCAAAAACGGUCCAAAAAUGGCCAAGGCUUUACCACACGAAAAAUCGGCCGAUUUUUAACCAUGUGAGAAACGUCCCGAAAGUUCACAGAUAACUACUAGGCGGCCUCACUCUGAGUAAUAUCAAAGUUUUUUCCCACAAAAAGCGCUCGGAGAUGCCCAGACUCAGUUUUUAUUUUCGUCCCAAUACUUUUCUUCCCAUGGUUUAGUUGUGUCUCUUUGAUCUUGUGCAACCUAUUUAGACCGAUGAUAGCCCGCGGAUGGGUGUGGAAACCCAUCUAUAUUGCACCCAGUAGGACACAGAAAAAAAGCCCAGGGCCUAGGGGUCGGGUGGGGCUCGUUCGGGGUGCACAACGGUUGCGCCAAAAACGGUCCAAAAAUGGCCAAGGCUUUACCACACGAAAAAUCGGCCGAUUUUUAACCAUGUGAGAAACGUCCCGAAAGUUCACAGAUAACUACUAGGCGGCCUCACUCUGAGUAAUAUCAAAGUUUUUUCCCACAAAAAGCGCUCGGAGAUGCCCAGACUCAGUUUUUAUUUUCGUCCCAAUACUUUUCUUCCCAUGGUUUAGUUGUGUCUCUUUGAUCUUGUGCAACCUAUUUAGACCGAUGAUAGCCCGCGGAUGGGUGUGGAAACCCAUCUAUAUUGCACCCAGUAGGACACAGAAAAAAAGCCCAGGGCCUAGGGGUCGGGUGGGGCUCGUUCGGGGUGCACAACGGUUGCGCCAAAAACGGUCCAAAAAUGGCCAAGGCUUUACCACACGAAAAAUCGGCCGAUUUUUAACCAUGUGAGAAACGUCCCGAAAGUUCACAGAUAACUACUAGGCGGCCUCACUCUGAGUAAUAUCAAAGUUUUUUCCCACAAAAAGCGCUCGGAGAUGCCCAGACUCAGUUUUUAUUUUCGUCCCAAUACUUUUCUUCCCAUGGUUUAGUUGUGUCUCUUUGAUCUUGUGCAACCUAUUUAGACCGAUGAUAGCCCGCGGAUGGGUGUGGAAACCCAUCUAUAUUGCACCCAGUAGGACACAGAAAAAAAGCCCAGGGCCUAGGGGUCGGGUGGGGCUCGUUCGGGGUGCACAACGGUUGCGCCAAAAACGGUCCAAAAAUGGCCAAGGCUUUACCACACGAAAAAUCGGCCGAUUUUUAACCAUGUGAGAAACGUCCCGAAAGUUCACAGAUAACUACUAGGCGGCCUCACUCUGAGUAAUAUCAAAGUUUUUUCCCACAAAAAGCGCUCGGAGAUGCCCAGACUCAGUUUUUAUUUUCGUCCCAAUACUUUUCUUCCCAUGGUUUAGUUGUGUCUCUUUGAUCUUGUGCAACCUAUUUAGACCGAUGAUAGCCCGCGGAUGGGUGUGGAAACCCAUCUAUAUUGCACCCAGUAGGACACAGAAAAAAAGCCCAGGGCCUAGGGGUCGGGUGGGGCUCGUUCGGGGUGCACAACGGUUGCGCCAAAAACGGUCCAAAAAUGGCCAAGGCUUUACCACACGAAAAAUCGGCCGAUUUUUAACCAUGUGAGAAACGUCCCGAAAGUUCACAGAUAACUACUAGGCGGCCUCACUCUGAGUAAUAUCAAAGUUUUUUCCCACAAAAAGCGCUCGGAGAUGCCCAGACUCAGUUUUUAUUUUCGUCCCAAUACUUUUCUUCCCAUGGUUUAGUUGUGUCUCUUUGAUCUUGUGCAACCUAUUUAGACCGAUGAUAGCCCGCGGAUGGGUGUGGAAACCCAUCUAUAUUGCACCCAGUAGGACACAGAAAAAAAGCCCAGGGCCUAGGGGUCGGGUGGGGCUCGUUCGGGGUGCACAACGGUUGCGCCAAAAACGGUCCAAAAAUGGCCAAGGCUUUACCACACGAAAAAUCGGCCGAUUUUUAACCAUGUGAGAAACGUCCCGAAAGUUCACAGAUAACUACUAGGCGGCCUCACUCUGAGUAAUAUCAAAGUUUUUUCCCACAAAAAGCGCUCGGAGAUGCCCAGACUCAGUUUUUAUUUUCGUCCCAAUACUUUUCUUCCCAUGGUUUAGUUGUGUCUCUUUGAUCUUGUGCAACCUAUUUAGACCGAUGAUAGCCCGCGGAUGGGUGUGGAAACCCAUCUAUAUUGCACCCAGUAGGACACAGAAAAAAAGCCCAGGGCCUAGGGGUCGGGUGGGGCUCGUUCGGGGUGCACAACGGUUGCGCCAAAAACGGUCCAAAAAUGGCCAAGGCUUUACCACACGAAAAAUCGGCCGAUUUUUAACCAUGUGAGAAACGUCCCGAAAGUUCACAGAUAACUACUAGGCGGCCUCACUCUGAGUAAUAUCAAAGUUUUUUCCCACAAAAAGCGCUCGGAGAUGCCCAGACUCAGUUUUUAUUUUCGUCCCAAUACUUUUCUUCCCAUGGUUUAGUUGUGUCUCUUUGAUCUUGUGCAACCUAUUUAGACCGAUGAUAGCCCGCGGAUGGGUGUGGAAACCCAUCUAUAUUGCACCCAGUAGGACACAGAAAAAAAGCCCAGGGCCUAGGGGUCGGGUGGGGCUCGUUCGGGGUGCACAACGGUUGCGCCAAAAACGGUCCAAAAAUGGCCAAGGCUUUACCACACGAAAAAUCGGCCGAUUUUUAACCAUGUGAGAAACGUCCCGAAAGUUCACAGAUAACUACUAGGCGGCCUCACUCUGAGUAAUAUCAAAGUUUUUUCCCACAAAAAGCGCUCGGAGAUGCCCAGACUCAGUUUUUAUUUUCGUCCCAAUACUUUUCUUCCCAUGGUUUAGUUGUGUCUCUUUGAUCUUGUGCAACCUAUUUAGACCGAUGAUAGCCCGCGGAUGGGUGUGGAAACCCAUCUAUAUUGCACCCAGUAGGACACAGAAAAAAAGCCCAGGGCCUAGGGGUCGGGUGGGGCUCGUUCGGGGUGCACAACGGUUGCGCCAAAAACGGUCCAAAAAUGGCCAAGGCUUUACCACACGAAAAAUCGGCCGAUUUUUAACCAUGUGAGAAACGUCCCGAAAGUUCACAGAUAACUACUAGGCGGCCUCACUCUGAGUAAUAUCAAAGUUUUUUCCCACAAAAAGCGCUCGGAGAUGCCCAGACUCAGUUUUUAUUUUCGUCCCAAUACUUUUCUUCCCAUGGUUUAGUUGUGUCUCUUUGAUCUUGUGCAACCUAUUUAGACCGAUGAUAGCCCGCGGAUGGGUGUGGAAACCCAUCUAUAUUGCACCCAGUAGGACACAGAAAAAAAGCCCAGGGCCUAGGGGUCGGGUGGGGCUCGUUCGGGGUGCACAACGGUUGCGCCAAAAACGGUCCAAAAAUGGCCAAGGCUUUACCACACGAAAAAUCGGCCGAUUUUUAACCAUGUGAGAAACGUCCCGAAAGUUCACAGAUAACUACUAGGCGGCCUCACUCUGAGUAAUAUCAAAGUUUUUUCCCACAAAAAGCGCUCGGAGAUGCCCAGACUCAGUUUUUAUUUUCGUCCCAAUACUUUUCUUCCCAUGGUUUAGUUGUGUCUCUUUGAUCUUGUGCAACCUAUUUAGACCGAUGAUAGCCCGCGGAUGGGUGUGGAAACCCAUCUAUAUUGCACCCAGUAGGACACAGAAAAAAAGCCCAGGGCCUAGGGGUCGGGUGGGGCUCGUUCGGGGUGCACAACGGUUGCGCCAAAAACGGUCCAAAAAUGGCCAAGGCUUUACCACACGAAAAAUCGGCCGAUUUUUAACCAUGUGAGAAACGUCCCGAAAGUUCACAGAUAACUACUAGGCGGCCUCACUCUGAGUAAUAUCAAAGUUUUUUCCCACAAAAAGCGCUCGGAGAUGCCCAGACUCAGUUUUUAUUUUCGUCCCAAUACUUUUCUUCCCAUGGUUUAGUUGUGUCUCUUUGAUCUUGUGCAACCUAUUUAGACCGAUGAUAGCCCGCGGAUGGGUGUGGAAACCCAUCUAUAUUGCACCCAGUAGGACACAGAAAAAAAGCCCAGGGCCUAGGGGUCGGGUGGGGCUCGUUCGGGGUGCACAACGGUUGCGCCAAAAACGGUCCAAAAAUGGCCAAGGCUUUACCACACGAAAAAUCGGCCGAUUUUUAACCAUGUGAGAAACGUCCCGAAAGUUCACAGAUAACUACUAGGCGGCCUCACUCUGAGUAAUAUCAAAGUUUUUUCCCACAAAAAGCGCUCGGAGAUGCCCAGACUCAGUUUUUAUUUUCGUCCCAAUACUUUUCUUCCCAUGGUUUAGUUGUGUCUCUUUGAUCUUGUGCAACCUAUUUAGACCGAUGAUAGCCCGCGGAUGGGUGUGGAAACCCAUCUAUAUUGCACCCAGUAGGACACAGAAAAAAAGCCCAGGGCCUAGGGGUCGGGUGGGGCUCGUUCGGGGUGCACAACGGUUGCGCCAAAAACGGUCCAAAAAUGGCCAAGGCUUUACCACACGAAAAAUCGGCCGAUUUUUAACCAUGUGAGAAACGUCCCGAAAGUUCACAGAUAACUACUAGGCGGCCUCACUCUGAGUAAUAUCAAAGUUUUUUCCCACAAAAAGCGCUCGGAGAUGCCCAGACUCAGUUUUUAUUUUCGUCCCAAUACUUUUCUUCCCAUGGUUUAGUUGUGUCUCUUUGAUCUUGUGCAACCUAUUUAGACCGAUGAUAGCCCGCGGAUGGGUGUGGAAACCCAUCUAUAUUGCACCCAGUAGGACACAGAAAAAAAGCCCAGGGCCUAGGGGUCGGGUGGGGCUCGUUCGGGGUGCACAACGGUUGCGCCAAAAACGGUCCAAAAAUGGCCAAGGCUUUACCACACGAAAAAUCGGCCGAUUUUUAACCAUGUGAGAAACGUCCCGAAAGUUCACAGAUAACUACUAGGCGGCCUCACUCUGAGUAAUAUCAAAGUUUUUUCCCACAAAAAGCGCUCGGAGAUGCCCAGACUCAGUUUUUAUUUUCGUCCCAAUACUUUUCUUCCCAUGGUUUAGUUGUGUCUCUUUGAUCUUGUGCAACCUAUUUAGACCGAUGAUAGCCCGCGGAUGGGUGUGGAAACCCAUCUAUAUUGCACCCAGUAGGACACAGAAAAAAAGCCCAGGGCCUAGGGGUCGGGUGGGGCUCGUUCGGGGUGCACAACGGUUGCGCCAAAAACGGUCCAAAAAUGGCCAAGGCUUUACCACACGAAAAAUCGGCCGAUUUUUAACCAUGUGAGAAACGUCCCGAAAGUUCACAGAUAACUACUAGGCGGCCUCACUCUGAGUAAUAUCAAAGUUUUUUCCCACAAAAAGCGCUCGGAGAUGCCCAGACUCAGUUUUUAUUUUCGUCCCAAUACUUUUCUUCCCAUGGUUUAGUUGUGUCUCUUUGAUCUUGUGCAACCUAUUUAGACCGAUGAUAGCCCGCGGAUGGGUGUGGAAACCCAUCUAUAUUGCACCCAGUAGGACACAGAAAAAAAGCCCAGGGCCUAGGGGUCGGGUGGGGCUCGUUCGGGGUGCACAACGGUUGCGCCAAAAACGGUCCAAAAAUGGCCAAGGCUUUACCACACGAAAAAUCGGCCGAUUUUUAACCAUGUGAGAAACGUCCCGAAAGUUCACAGAUAACUACUAGGCGGCCUCACUCUGAGUAAUAUCAAAGUUUUUUCCCACAAAAAGCGCUCGGAGAUGCCCAGACUCAGUUUUUAUUUUCGUCCCAAUACUUUUCUUCCCAUGGUUUAGUUGUGUCUCUUUGAUCUUGUGCAACCUAUUUAGACCGAUGAUAGCCCGCGGAUGGGUGUGGAAACCCAUCUAUAUUGCACCCAGUAGGACACAGAAAAAAAGCCCAGGGCCUAGGGGUCGGGUGGGGCUCGUUCGGGGUGCACAACGGUUGCGCCAAAAACGGUCCAAAAAUGGCCAAGGCUUUACCACACGAAAAAUCGGCCGAUUUUUAACCAUGUGAGAAACGUCCCGAAAGUUCACAGAUAACUACUAGGCGGCCUCACUCUGAGUAAUAUCAAAGUUUUUUCCCACAAAAAGCGCUCGGAGAUGCCCAGACUCAGUUUUUAUUUUCGUCCCAAUACUUUUCUUCCCAUGGUUUAGUUGUGUCUCUUUGAUCUUGUGCAACCUAUUUAGACCGAUGAUAGCCCGCGGAUGGGUGUGGAAACCCAUCUAUAUUGCACCCAGUAGGACACAGAAAAAAAGCCCAGGGCCUAGGGGUCGGGUGGGGCUCGUUCGGGGUGCACAACGGUUGCGCCAAAAACGGUCCAAAAAUGGCCAAGGCUUUACCACACGAAAAAUCGGCCGAUUUUUAACCAUGUGAGAAACGUCCCGAAAGUUCACAGAUAACUACUAGGCGGCCUCACUCUGAGUAAUAUCAAAGUUUUUUCCCACAAAAAGCGCUCGGAGAUGCCCAGACUCAGUUUUUAUUUUCGUCCCAAUACUUUUCUUCCCAUGGUUUAGUUGUGUCUCUUUGAUCUUGUGCAACCUAUUUAGACCGAUGAUAGCCCGCGGAUGGGUGUGGAAACCCAUCUAUAUUGCACCCAGUAGGACACAGAAAAAAAGCCCAGGGCCUAGGGGUCGGGUGGGGCUCGUUCGGGGUGCACAACGGUUGCGCCAAAAACGGUCCAAAAAUGGCCAAGGCUUUACCACACGAAAAAUCGGCCGAUUUUUAACCAUGUGAGAAACGUCCCGAAAGUUCACAGAUAACUACUAGGCGGCCUCACUCUGAGUAAUAUCAAAGUUUUUUCCCACAAAAAGCGCUCGGAGAUGCCCAGACUCAGUUUUUAUUUUCGUCCCAAUACUUUUCUUCCCAUGGUUUAGUUGUGUCUCUUUGAUCUUGUGCAACCUAUUUAGACCGAUGAUAGCCCGCGGAUGGGUGUGGAAACCCAUCUAUAUUGCACCCAGUAGGACACAGAAAAAAAGCCCAGGGCCUAGGGGUCGGGUGGGGCUCGUUCGGGGUGCACAACGGUUGCGCCAAAAACGGUCCAAAAAUGGCCAAGGCUUUACCACACGAAAAAUCGGCCGAUUUUUAACCAUGUGAGAAACGUCCCGAAAGUUCACAGAUAACUACUAGGCGGCCUCACUCUGAGUAAUAUCAAAGUUUUUUCCCACAAAAAGCGCUCGGAGAUGCCCAGACUCAGUUUUUAUUUUCGUCCCAAUACUUUUCUUCCCAUGGUUUAGUUGUGUCUCUUUGAUCUUGUGCAACCUAUUUAGACCGAUGAUAGCCCGCGGAUGGGUGUGGAAACCCAUCUAUAUUGCACCCAGUAGGACACAGAAAAAAAGCCCAGGGCCUAGGGGUCGGGUGGGGCUCGUUCGGGGUGCACAACGGUUGCGCCAAAAACGGUCCAAAAAUGGCCAAGGCUUUACCACACGAAAAAUCGGCCGAUUUUUAACCAUGUGAGAAACGUCCCGAAAGUUCACAGAUAACUACUAGGCGGCCUCACUCUGAGUAAUAUCAAAGUUUUUUCCCACAAAAAGCGCUCGGAGAUGCCCAGACUCAGUUUUUAUUUUCGUCCCAAUACUUUUCUUCCCAUGGUUUAGUUGUGUCUCUUUGAUCUUGUGCAACCUAUUUAGACCGAUGAUAGCCCGCGGAUGGGUGUGGAAACCCAUCUAUAUUGCACCCAGUAGGACACAGAAAAAAAGCCCAGGGCCUAGGGGUCGGGUGGGGCUCGUUCGGGGUGCACAACGGUUGCGCCAAAAACGGUCCAAAAAUGGCCAAGGCUUUACCACACGAAAAAUCGGCCGAUUUUUAACCAUGUGAGAAACGUCCCGAAAGUUCACAGAUAACUACUAGGCGGCCUCACUCUGAGUAAUAUCAAAGUUUUUUCCCACAAAAAGCGCUCGGAGAUGCCCAGACUCAGUUUUUAUUUUCGUCCCAAUACUUUUCUUCCCAUGGUUUAGUUGUGUCUCUUUGAUCUUGUGCAACCUAUUUAGACCGAUGAUAGCCCGCGGAUGGGUGUGGAAACCCAUCUAUAUUGCACCCAGUAGGACACAGAAAAAAAGCCCAGGGCCUAGGGGUCGGGUGGGGCUCGUUCGGGGUGCACAACGGUUGCGCCAAAAACGGUCCAAAAAUGGCCAAGGCUUUACCACACGAAAAAUCGGCCGAUUUUUAACCAUGUGAGAAACGUCCCGAAAGUUCACAGAUAACUACUAGGCGGCCUCACUCUGAGUAAUAUCAAAGUUUUUUCCCACAAAAAGCGCUCGGAGAUGCCCAGACUCAGUUUUUAUUUUCGUCCCAAUACUUUUCUUCCCAUGGUUUAGUUGUGUCUCUUUGAUCUUGUGCAACCUAUUUAGACCGAUGAUAGCCCGCGGAUGGGUGUGGAAACCCAUCUAUAUUGCACCCAGUAGGACACAGAAAAAAAGCCCAGGGCCUAGGGGUCGGGUGGGGCUCGUUCGGGGUGCACAACGGUUGCGCCAAAAACGGUCCAAAAAUGGCCAAGGCUUUACCACACGAAAAAUCGGCCGAUUUUUAACCAUGUGAGAAACGUCCCGAAAGUUCACAGAUAACUACUAGGCGGCCUCACUCUGAGUAAUAUCAAAGUUUUUUCCCACAAAAAGCGCUCGGAGAUGCCCAGACUCAGUUUUUAUUUUCGUCCCAAUACUUUUCUUCCCAUGGUUUAGUUGUGUCUCUUUGAUCUUGUGCAACCUAUUUAGACCGAUGAUAGCCCGCGGAUGGGUGUGGAAACCCAUCUAUAUUGCACCCAGUAGGACACAGAAAAAAAGCCCAGGGCCUAGGGGUCGGGUGGGGCUCGUUCGGGGUGCACAACGGUUGCGCCAAAAACGGUCCAAAAAUGGCCAAGGCUUUACCACACGAAAAAUCGGCCGAUUUUUAACCAUGUGAGAAACGUCCCGAAAGUUCACAGAUAACUACUAGGCGGCCUCACUCUGAGUAAUAUCAAAGUUUUUUCCCACAAAAAGCGCUCGGAGAUGCCCAGACUCAGUUUUUAUUUUCGUCCCAAUACUUUUCUUCCCAUGGUUUAGUUGUGUCUCUUUGAUCUUGUGCAACCUAUUUAGACCGAUGAUAGCCCGCGGAUGGGUGUGGAAACCCAUCUAUAUUGCACCCAGUAGGACACAGAAAAAAAGCCCAGGGCCUAGGGGUCGGGUGGGGCUCGUUCGGGGUGCACAACGGUUGCGCCAAAAACGGUCCAAAAAUGGCCAAGGCUUUACCACACGAAAAAUCGGCCGAUUUUUAACCAUGUGAGAAACGUCCCGAAAGUUCACAGAUAACUACUAGGCGGCCUCACUCUGAGUAAUAUCAAAGUUUUUUCCCACAAAAAGCGCUCGGAGAUGCCCAGACUCAGUUUUUAUUUUCGUCCCAAUACUUUUCUUCCCAUGGUUUAGUUGUGUCUCUUUGAUCUUGUGCAACCUAUUUAGACCGAUGAUAGCCCGCGGAUGGGUGUGGAAACCCAUCUAUAUUGCACCCAGUAGGACACAGAAAAAAAGCCCAGGGCCUAGGGGUCGGGUGGGGCUCGUUCGGGGUGCACAACGGUUGCGCCAAAAACGGUCCAAAAAUGGCCAAGGCUUUACCACACGAAAAAUCGGCCGAUUUUUAACCAUGUGAGAAACGUCCCGAAAGUUCACAGAUAACUACUAGGCGGCCUCACUCUGAGUAAUAUCAAAGUUUUUUCCCACAAAAAGCGCUCGGAGAUGCCCAGACUCAGUUUUUAUUUUCGUCCCAAUACUUUUCUUCCCAUGGUUUAGUUGUGUCUCUUUGAUCUUGUGCAACCUAUUUAGACCGAUGAUAGCCCGCGGAUGGGUGUGGAAACCCAUCUAUAUUGCACCCAGUAGGACACAGAAAAAAAGCCCAGGGCCUAGGGGUCGGGUGGGGCUCGUUCGGGGUGCACAACGGUUGCGCCAAAAACGGUCCAAAAAUGGCCAAGGCUUUACCACACGAAAAAUCGGCCGAUUUUUAACCAUGUGAGAAACGUCCCGAAAGUUCACAGAUAACUACUAGGCGGCCUCACUCUGAGUAAUAUCAAAGUUUUUUCCCACAAAAAGCGCUCGGAGAUGCCCAGACUCAGUUUUUAUUUUCGUCCCAAUACUUUUCUUCCCAUGGUUUAGUUGUGUCUCUUUGAUCUUGUGCAACCUAUUUAGACCGAUGAUAGCCCGCGGAUGGGUGUGGAAACCCAUCUAUAUUGCACCCAGUAGGACACAGAAAAAAAGCCCAGGGCCUAGGGGUCGGGUGGGGCUCGUUCGGGGUGCACAACGGUUGCGCCAAAAACGGUCCAAAAAUGGCCAAGGCUUUACCACACGAAAAAUCGGCCGAUUUUUAACCAUGUGAGAAACGUCCCGAAAGUUCACAGAUAACUACUAGGCGGCCUCACUCUGAGUAAUAUCAAAGUUUUUUCCCACAAAAAGCGCUCGGAGAUGCCCAGACUCAGUUUUUAUUUUCGUCCCAAUACUUUUCUUCCCAUGGUUUAGUUGUGUCUCUUUGAUCUUGUGCAACCUAUUUAGACCGAUGAUAGCCCGCGGAUGGGUGUGGAAACCCAUCUAUAUUGCACCCAGUAGGACACAGAAAAAAAGCCCAGGGCCUAGGGGUCGGGUGGGGCUCGUUCGGGGUGCACAACGGUUGCGCCAAAAACGGUCCAAAAAUGGCCAAGGCUUUACCACACGAAAAAUCGGCCGAUUUUUAACCAUGUGAGAAACGUCCCGAAAGUUCACAGAUAACUACUAGGCGGCCUCACUCUGAGUAAUAUCAAAGUUUUUUCCCACAAAAAGCGCUCGGAGAUGCCCAGACUCAGUUUUUAUUUUCGUCCCAAUACUUUUCUUCCCAUGGUUUAGUUGUGUCUCUUUGAUCUUGUGCAACCUAUUUAGACCGAUGAUAGCCCGCGGAUGGGUGUGGAAACCCAUCUAUAUUGCACCCAGUAGGACACAGAAAAAAAGCCCAGGGCCUAGGGGUCGGGUGGGGCUCGUUCGGGGUGCACAACGGUUGCGCCAAAAACGGUCCAAAAAUGGCCAAGGCUUUACCACACGAAAAAUCGGCCGAUUUUUAACCAUGUGAGAAACGUCCCGAAAGUUCACAGAUAACUACUAGGCGGCCUCACUCUGAGUAAUAUCAAAGUUUUUUCCCACAAAAAGCGCUCGGAGAUGCCCAGACUCAGUUUUUAUUUUCGUCCCAAUACUUUUCUUCCCAUGGUUUAGUUGUGUCUCUUUGAUCUUGUGCAACCUAUUUAGACCGAUGAUAGCCCGCGGAUGGGUGUGGAAACCCAUCUAUAUUGCACCCAGUAGGACACAGAAAAAAAGCCCAGGGCCUAGGGGUCGGGUGGGGCUCGUUCGGGGUGCACAACGGUUGCGCCAAAAACGGUCCAAAAAUGGCCAAGGCUUUACCACACGAAAAAUCGGCCGAUUUUUAACCAUGUGAGAAACGUCCCGAAAGUUCACAGAUAACUACUAGGCGGCCUCACUCUGAGUAAUAUCAAAGUUUUUUCCCACAAAAAGCGCUCGGAGAUGCCCAGACUCAGUUUUUAUUUUCGUCCCAAUACUUUUCUUCCCAUGGUUUAGUUGUGUCUCUUUGAUCUUGUGCAACCUAUUUAGACCGAUGAUAGCCCGCGGAUGGGUGUGGAAACCCAUCUAUAUUGCACCCAGUAGGACACAGAAAAAAAGCCCAGGGCCUAGGGGUCGGGUGGGGCUCGUUCGGGGUGCACAACGGUUGCGCCAAAAACGGUCCAAAAAUGGCCAAGGCUUUACCACACGAAAAAUCGGCCGAUUUUUAACCAUGUGAGAAACGUCCCGAAAGUUCACAGAUAACUACUAGGCGGCCUCACUCUGAGUAAUAUCAAAGUUUUUUCCCACAAAAAGCGCUCGGAGAUGCCCAGACUCAGUUUUUAUUUUCGUCCCAAUACUUUUCUUCCCAUGGUUUAGUUGUGUCUCUUUGAUCUUGUGCAACCUAUUUAGACCGAUGAUAGCCCGCGGAUGGGUGUGGAAACCCAUCUAUAUUGCACCCAGUAGGACACAGAAAAAAAGCCCAGGGCCUAGGGGUCGGGUGGGGCUCGUUCGGGGUGCACAACGGUUGCGCCAAAAACGGUCCAAAAAUGGCCAAGGCUUUACCACACGAAAAAUCGGCCGAUUUUUAACCAUGUGAGAAACGUCCCGAAAGUUCACAGAUAACUACUAGGCGGCCUCACUCUGAGUAAUAUCAAAGUUUUUUCCCACAAAAAGCGCUCGGAGAUGCCCAGACUCAGUUUUUAUUUUCGUCCCAAUACUUUUCUUCCCAUGGUUUAGUUGUGUCUCUUUGAUCUUGUGCAACCUAUUUAGACCGAUGAUAGCCCGCGGAUGGGUGUGGAAACCCAUCUAUAUUGCACCCAGUAGGACACAGAAAAAAAGCCCAGGGCCUAGGGGUCGGGUGGGGCUCGUUCGGGGUGCACAACGGUUGCGCCAAAAACGGUCCAAAAAUGGCCAAGGCUUUACCACACGAAAAAUCGGCCGAUUUUUAACCAUGUGAGAAACGUCCCGAAAGUUCACAGAUAACUACUAGGCGGCCUCACUCUGAGUAAUAUCAAAGUUUUUUCCCACAAAAAGCGCUCGGAGAUGCCCAGACUCAGUUUUUAUUUUCGUCCCAAUACUUUUCUUCCCAUGGUUUAGUUGUGUCUCUUUGAUCUUGUGCAACCUAUUUAGACCGAUGAUAGCCCGCGGAUGGGUGUGGAAACCCAUCUAUAUUGCACCCAGUAGGACACAGAAAAAAAGCCCAGGGCCUAGGGGUCGGGUGGGGCUCGUUCGGGGUGCACAACGGUUGCGCCAAAAACGGUCCAAAAAUGGCCAAGGCUUUACCACACGAAAAAUCGGCCGAUUUUUAACCAUGUGAGAAACGUCCCGAAAGUUCACAGAUAACUACUAGGCGGCCUCACUCUGAGUAAUAUCAAAGUUUUUUCCCACAAAAAGCGCUCGGAGAUGCCCAGACUCAGUUUUUAUUUUCGUCCCAAUACUUUUCUUCCCAUGGUUUAGUUGUGUCUCUUUGAUCUUGUGCAACCUAUUUAGACCGAUGAUAGCCCGCGGAUGGGUGUGGAAACCCAUCUAUAUUGCACCCAGUAGGACACAGAAAAAAAGCCCAGGGCCUAGGGGUCGGGUGGGGCUCGUUCGGGGUGCACAACGGUUGCGCCAAAAACGGUCCAAAAAUGGCCAAGGCUUUACCACACGAAAAAUCGGCCGAUUUUUAACCAUGUGAGAAACGUCCCGAAAGUUCACAGAUAACUACUAGGCGGCCUCACUCUGAGUAAUAUCAAAGUUUUUUCCCACAAAAAGCGCUCGGAGAUGCCCAGACUCAGUUUUUAUUUUCGUCCCAAUACUUUUCUUCCCAUGGUUUAGUUGUGUCUCUUUGAUCUUGUGCAACCUAUUUAGACCGAUGAUAGCCCGCGGAUGGGUGUGGAAACCCAUCUAUAUUGCACCCAGUAGGACACAGAAAAAAAGCCCAGGGCCUAGGGGUCGGGUGGGGCUCGUUCGGGGUGCACAACGGUUGCGCCAAAAACGGUCCAAAAAUGGCCAAGGCUUUACCACACGAAAAAUCGGCCGAUUUUUAACCAUGUGAGAAACGUCCCGAAAGUUCACAGAUAACUACUAGGCGGCCUCACUCUGAGUAAUAUCAAAGUUUUUUCCCACAAAAAGCGCUCGGAGAUGCCCAGACUCAGUUUUUAUUUUCGUCCCAAUACUUUUCUUCCCAUGGUUUAGUUGUGUCUCUUUGAUCUUGUGCAACCUAUUUAGACCGAUGAUAGCCCGCGGAUGGGUGUGGAAACCCAUCUAUAUUGCACCCAGUAGGACACAGAAAAAAAGCCCAGGGCCUAGGGGUCGGGUGGGGCUCGUUCGGGGUGCACAACGGUUGCGCCAAAAACGGUCCAAAAAUGGCCAAGGCUUUACCACACGAAAAAUCGGCCGAUUUUUAACCAUGUGAGAAACGUCCCGAAAGUUCACAGAUAACUACUAGGCGGCCUCACUCUGAGUAAUAUCAAAGUUUUUUCCCACAAAAAGCGCUCGGAGAUGCCCAGACUCAGUUUUUAUUUUCGUCCCAAUACUUUUCUUCCCAUGGUUUAGUUGUGUCUCUUUGAUCUUGUGCAACCUAUUUAGACCGAUGAUAGCCCGCGGAUGGGUGUGGAAACCCAUCUAUAUUGCACCCAGUAGGACACAGAAAAAAAGCCCAGGGCCUAGGGGUCGGGUGGGGCUCGUUCGGGGUGCACAACGGUUGCGCCAAAAACGGUCCAAAAAUGGCCAAGGCUUUACCACACGAAAAAUCGGCCGAUUUUUAACCAUGUGAGAAACGUCCCGAAAGUUCACAGAUAACUACUAGGCGGCCUCACUCUGAGUAAUAUCAAAGUUUUUUCCCACAAAAAGCGCUCGGAGAUGCCCAGACUCAGUUUUUAUUUUCGUCCCAAUACUUUUCUUCCCAUGGUUUAGUUGUGUCUCUUUGAUCUUGUGCAACCUAUUUAGACCGAUGAUAGCCCGCGGAUGGGUGUGGAAACCCAUCUAUAUUGCACCCAGUAGGACACAGAAAAAAAGCCCAGGGCCUAGGGGUCGGGUGGGGCUCGUUCGGGGUGCACAACGGUUGCGCCAAAAACGGUCCAAAAAUGGCCAAGGCUUUACCACACGAAAAAUCGGCCGAUUUUUAACCAUGUGAGAAACGUCCCGAAAGUUCACAGAUAACUACUAGGCGGCCUCACUCUGAGUAAUAUCAAAGUUUUUUCCCACAAAAAGCGCUCGGAGAUGCCCAGACUCAGUUUUUAUUUUCGUCCCAAUACUUUUCUUCCCAUGGUUUAGUUGUGUCUCUUUGAUCUUGUGCAACCUAUUUAGACCGAUGAUAGCCCGCGGAUGGGUGUGGAAACCCAUCUAUAUUGCACCCAGUAGGACACAGAAAAAAAGCCCAGGGCCUAGGGGUCGGGUGGGGCUCGUUCGGGGUGCACAACGGUUGCGCCAAAAACGGUCCAAAAAUGGCCAAGGCUUUACCACACGAAAAAUCGGCCGAUUUUUAACCAUGUGAGAAACGUCCCGAAAGUUCACAGAUAACUACUAGGCGGCCUCACUCUGAGUAAUAUCAAAGUUUUUUCCCACAAAAAGCGCUCGGAGAUGCCCAGACUCAGUUUUUAUUUUCGUCCCAAUACUUUUCUUCCCAUGGUUUAGUUGUGUUUCUUUGAUCUUGUGCAACCUAUUUAGACCGAUGAUAGCCCGCGGAUGGGUGUGGAAACCCAUCUAUAUUGCACCCAGUAGGACACAGAAAAAAAGCCCAGGGCCUAGGGGUCGGGUGGGGCUCGUUCGGGGUGCACAACGGUUGCGCCAAAAACGGUCCAAAAAUGGCCAAGGCUUUACCACACGAAAAAUCGGCCGAUUUUUAACCAUGUGAGAAACGUCCCGAAAGUUCACAGAUAACUACUAGGCGGCCUCACUCUGAGUAAUAUCAAAGUUUUUUCCCACAAAAAGCGCUCGGAGAUGCCCAGACUCAGUUUUUAUUUUCGUCCCAAUACUUUUCUUCCCAUGGUUUAGUUGUGUUUCUUUGAUCUUGUGCAACCUAUUUAGACCGAUGAUAGCCCGCGGAUGGGUGUGGAAACCCAUCUAUAUUGCACCCAGUAGGACACAGAAAAAAAGCCCAGGGCCUAGGGGUCGGGUGGGGCUCGUUCGGGGUGCACAACGGUUGCGCCAAAAACGGUCCAAAAAUGGCCAAGGCUUUACCACACGAAAAAUCGGCCGAUUUUUAACCAUGUGAGAAACGUCCCGAAAGUUCACAGAUAACUACUAGGCGGCCUCACUCUGAGUAAUAUCAAAGUUUUUUCCCACAAAAAGCGCUCGGAGAUGCCCAGACUCAGUUUUUAUUUUCGUCCCAAUACUUUUCUUCCCAUGGUUUAGUUGUGUUUCUUUGAUCUUGUGCAACCUAUUUAGACCGAUGAUAGCCCGCGGAUAGGUGUGGAAACCCAUCUAUAUUGCACCCAGUAGGACACAGAAAAAAAGCCCAGGGCCUAGGGGUCGGGUGGGGCUCGUUCGGGGUGCACAACGGUUGCGCCAAAAACGGUCCAAAAAUGGCCAAGGCUUUACCACACGAAAAAUCGGCCGAUUUUUAACCAUGUGAGAAACGUCCCGAAAGUUCACAGAUAACUACUAGGCGGCCUCACUCUGAGUAAUAUCAAAGUUUUUUCCCACAAAAAGCGCUCGGAGAUGCCCAGACUCAGUUUUUAUUUUCGUCCCAAUACUUUUCUUCCCAUGGUUUAGUUGUGUUUCUUUGAUCUUGUGCAACCUAUUUAGACCGAUGAUAGCCCGCGGAUAGGUGUGGAAACCCAUCUAUAUUGCACCCAGUAUGACACAGAAAAAAAGCCCAGGGCCUAGGGGUCGGGUGGGGCUCGUUCGGGGUGCACAACGGUUGCGCCAAAAACGGUCCAAAAAUGGCCAAGGCUUUACCAUACCGAAAAUCGGCCGAUUUUUAACCAUGUGAGAAACGUCCCGAAAAUUCACAGAUAACUACUAGGAGGCCUCACUCUGAGUAAUAUGAAAGUUUUCUCCCACAAGAACCGCUCGGAGAUGCCCAGACUCAGUUUUUAUUUUCGUCCCAAUACUUUUCUUCCCAUGGACUAGUUGUGUUUCUUUGAUCUUGUGCAACCUAUUUAGGCCGAUGAUAGACCGCGGAUAGGUGUGGAAACCCAUCUAUAUUGCACCCAGUAUGACACAGAAAAAAAGCCCAGGGCCUAGGGGUCGGGUGGGGCUCGUUCGGGGUGCACAACGGUUGCGCCAAAAACGGUCCAAAAAUGGCCAAGGCUUUACCAUACCGAAAAUCGGCCGAUUUUUAACCAUGUGAGAAACGUCCCGAAAAUUCACAGGUAACUACUAGGGGCCUUUAAAAAAAUUUUUUCCCUCAAAAACCGCUCAAAAUGAGGCCACCCAGUAGUUAGGUGUGAAUUUUCGAGACCUUUGGCACCGUUCUAAGAUGGGUCCUCUCUUCGUAGGCUAAUGCAUUGGCCCUUUUUGACCCGUUUUGGGGCGAAAACAAAAACUGACUCCCGGGCAUAUUUUUUUCGGCCUUUAUGGGCAGAGAACUUUAAUACCGCUCAAAAUGAGGCCACCCAGUAGUUAGGUGUGAAUUUUCGAGACCUUUGGCACCGUUCUAAGAUGGGUCCUCUCUUCGUAGGCUAAUGCAUUGGCCCUUUUUGACCCGUUUUGGGGCGAAAACAAAAACUGACUCCCGGGCAUAUUUUUUUCGGCCUUUAUGGGCAGAGAACUUUAAUACCGCUCAAAAUGAGGCCACCCAGUAGUUAGGUGUGAAUUUUCGAGACCUUUGGCACCGUUCUAAGAUGGGUCCUCUCUUCGUAGGCUAAUGCAUUGGCCCUUUUUGACCCGUUUUGGGGCGAAAACAAAAACUGACUCCCGGGCAUAUUUUUUUCGGCCUUUAUGGGCAGAGAACUUUAAUACCGCUCAAAAUGAGGCCACCCAGUAGUUAGGUGUGAAUUUUCGAGACCUUUGGCACCGUUCUAAGAUGGGUCCUCUCUUCGUAGGCUAAUGCAUUGGCCCUUUUUGACCCGUUUUGGGGCGAAAACAAAAACUGACUCCCGGGCAUAUUUUUUUCGGCCUUUAUGGGCAGAGAACUUUAAUACCGCUCAAAAUGAGGCCACCCAGUAGUUAGGUGUGAAUUUUCGAGACCUUUGGCACCGUUCUAAGAUGGGUCCUCUCUUCGUAGGCUAAUGCAUUGGCCCUUUUUGACCCGUUUUGGGGCGAAAACAAAAACUGACUCCCGGGCAUAUUUUUUUCGGCCUUUAUGGGCAGAGAACUUUAAUACCGCUCAAAAUGAGGCCACCCAGUAGUUAGGUGUGAAUUUUCGAGACCUUUGGCACCGUUCUAAGAUGGGUCCUCUCUUCGUAGGCUAAUGCAUUGGCCCUUUUUGACCCGUUUUGGGGCGAAAACAAAAACUGACUCCCGGGCAUAUUUUUUUCGGCCUUUAUGGGCAGAGAACUUUAAUACCGCUCAAAAUGAGGCCACCCAGUAGUUAGGUGUGAAUUUUCGAGACCUUUGGCACCGUUCUAAGAUGGGUCCUCUCUUCGUAGGCUAAUGCAUUGGCCCUUUUUGACCCGUUUUGGGGCGAAAACAAAAACUGACUCCCGGGCAUAUUUUUUUCGGCCUUUAUGGGCAGAGAACUUUAAUACCGCUCAAAAUGAGGCCACCCAGUAGUUAGGUGUGAAUUUUCGAGACCUUUGGCACCGUUCUAAGAUGGGUCCUCUCUUCGUAGGCUAAUGCAUUGGCCCUUUUUGACCCGUUUUGGGGCGAAAACAAAAACUGACUCCCGGGCAUAUUUUUUUCGGCCUUUAUGGGCAGAGAACUUUAAUACCGCUCAAAAUGAGGCCACCCAGUAGUUAGGUGUGAAUUUUCGAGACCUUUGGCACCGUUCUAAGAUGGGUCCUCUCUUCGUAGGCUAAUGCAUUGGCCCUUUUUGACCCGUUUUGGGGCGAAAACAAAAACUGACUCCCGGGCAUAUUUUUUUCGGCCUUUAUGGGCAGAGAACUUUAAUACCGCUCAAAAUGAGGCCACCCAGUAGUUAGGUGUGAAUUUUCGAGACCUUUGGCACCGUUCUAAGAUGGGUCCUCUCUUCGUAGGCUAAUGCAUUGGCCCUUUUUGACCCGUUUUGGGGCGAAAACAAAAACUGACUCCCGGGCAUAUUUUUUUCGGCCUUUAUGGGCAGAGAACUUUAAUACCGCUCAAAAUGAGGCCACCCAGUAGUUAGGUGUGAAUUUUCGAGACCUUUGGCACCGUUCUAAGAUGGGUCCUCUCUUCGUAGGCUAAUGCAUUGGCCCUUUUUGACCCGUUUUGGGGCGAAAACAAAAACUGACUCCCGGGCAUAUUUUUUUCGGCCUUUAUGGGCAGAGAACUUUAAUACCGCUCAAAAUGAGGCCACCCAGUAGUUAGGUGUGAAUUUUCGAGACCUUUGGCACCGUUCUAAGAUGGGUCCUCUCUUCGUAGGCUAAUGCAUUGGCCCUUUUUGACCCGUUUUGGGGCGAAAACAAAAACUGACUCCCGGGCAUAUUUUUUUCGGCCUUUAUGGGCAGAGAACUUUAAUACCGCUCAAAAUGAGGCCACCCAGUAGUUAGGUGUGAAUUUUCGAGACCUUUGGCACCGUUCUAAGAUGGGUCCUCUCUUCGUAGGCUAAUGCAUUGGCCCUUUUUGACCCGUUUUGGGGCGAAAACAAAAACUGACUCCCGGGCAUAUUUUUUUCGGCCUUUAUGGGCAGAGAACUUUAAUACCGCUCAAAAUGAGGCCACCCAGUAGUUAGGUGUGAAUUUUCGAGACCUUUGGCACCGUUCUAAGAUGGGUCCUCUCUUCGUAGGCUAAUGCAUUGGCCCUUUUUGACCCGUUUUGGGGCGAAAACAAAAACUGACUCCCGGGCAUAUUUUUUUCGGCCUUUAUGGGCAGAGAACUUUAAUACCGCUCAAAAUGAGGCCACCCAGUAGUUAGGUGUGAAUUUUCGAGACCUUUGGCACCGUUCUAAGAUGGGUCCUCUCUUCGUAGGCUAAUGCAUUGGCCCUUUUUGACCCGUUUUGGGGCGAAAACAAAAACUGACUCCCGGGCAUUUUUUUUCGGCCUUUAUGGGCAGAGAACUUUAAUACCGCUCAAAAUGAGGCCACCCAGUAGUUAGGUGUGAAUUUUCGAGACCUUUGGCACCGUUCUAAGAUGGGUCCUCUCUUCGUAGGCUAAUGCAUUGGCCCUUUUUGACCCGUUUUGGGGCGAAAACAAAAACUGACUCCCGGGCAUAUUUUUUUCGGCCUUUAUGGGCAGAGAACUUUAAUACCGCUCAAAAUGAGGCCACCCAGUAGUUAGGUGUGAAUUUUCGAGACCUUUGGCACCGUUCUAAGAUGGGUCCUCUCUUCGUAGGCUAAUGCAUUGGCCCUUUUUGACCCGUUUUGGGGCGAAAACAAAAACUGACUCCCGGGCAUAUUUUUUUCGGCCUUUAUGGGCAGAGAACUUUAAUACCGCUCAAAAUGAGGCCACCCAGUAGUUAGGUGUGAAUUUUCGAGACCUUUGGCACCGUUCUAAGAUGGGUCCUCUCUUCGUAGGCUAAUGCAUUGGCCCUUUUUGACCCGUUUUGGGGCGAAAACAAAAACUGACUCCCGGGCAUAUUUUUUUCGGCCUUUAUGGGCAGAGAACUUUAAUACCGCUCAAAAUGAGGCCACCCAGUAGUUAGGUGUGAAUUUUCGAGACCUUUGGCACCGUUCUAAGAUGGGUCCUCUCUUCGUAGGCUAAUGCAUUGGCCCUUUUUGACCCGUUUUGGGGCGAAAACAAAAACUGACUCCCGGGCAUAUUUUUUUCGGCCUUUAUGGGCAGAGAACUUUAAUACCGCUCAAAAUGAGGCCACCCAGUAGUUAGGUGUGAAUUUUCGAGACCUUUGGCACCGUUCUAAGAUGGGUCCUCUCUUCGUAGGCUAAUGCAUUGGCCCUUUUUGACCCGUUUUGGGGCGAAAACAAAAACUGACUCCCGGGCAUAUUUUUUUCGGCCUUUAUGGGCAGAGAACUUUAAUACCGCUCAAAAUGAGGCCACCCAGUAGUUAGGUGUGAAUUUUCGAGACCUUUGGCACCGUUCUAAGAUGGGUCCUCUCUUCGUAGGCUAAUGCAUUGGCCCUUUUUGACCCGUUUUGGGGCGAAAACAAAAACUGACUCCCGGGCAUAUUUUUUUCGGCCUUUAUGGGCAGAGAACUUUAAUACCGCUCAAAAUGAGGCCACCCAGUAGUUAGGUGUGAAUUUUCGAGACCUUUGGCACCGUUCUAAGAUGGGUCCUCUCUUCGUAGGCUAAUGCAUUGGCCCUUUUUGACCCGUUUUGGGGCGAAAACAAAAACUGACUCCCGGGCAUAUUUUUUUCGGCCUUUAUGGGCAGAGAACUUUAAUACCGCUCAAAAUGAGGCCACCCAGUAGUUAGGUGUGAAUUUUCGAGACCUUUGGCACCGUUCUAAGAUGGGUCCUCUCUUCGUAGGCUAAUGCAUUGGCCCUUUUUGACCCGUUUUGGGGCGAAAACAAAAACUGACUCCCGGGCAUAUUUUUUUCGGCCUUUAUGGGCAGAGAACUUUAAUACCGCUCAAAAUGAGGCCACCCAGUAGUUAGGUGUGAAUUUUCGAGACCUUUGGCACCGUUCUAAGAUGGGUCCUCUCUUCGUAGGCUAAUGCAUUGGCCCUUUUUGACCCGUUUUGGGGCGAAAACAAAAACUGACUCCCGGGCAUAUUUUUUUCGGCCUUUAUGGGCAGAGAACUUUAAUACCGCUCAAAAUGAGGCCACCCAGUAGUUAGGUGUGAAUUUUCGAGACCUUUGGCACCGUUCUAAGAUGGGUCCUCUCUUCGUAGGCUAAUGCAUUGGCCCUUUUUGACCCGUUUUGGGGCGAAAACAAAAACUGACUCCCGGGCAUAUUUUUUUCGGCCUUUAUGGGCAGAGAACUUUAAUACCGCUCAAAAUGAGGCCACCCAGUAGUUAGGUGUGAAUUUUCGAGACCUUUGGCACCGUUCUAAGAUGGGUCCUCUCUUCGUAGGCUAAUGCAUUGGCCCUUUUUGACCCGUUUUGGGGCGAAAACAAAAACUGACUCCCGGGCAUAUUUUUUUCGGCCUUUAUGGGCAGAGAACUUUAAUACCGCUCAAAAUGAGGCCACCCAGUAGUUAGGUGUGAAUUUUCGAGACCUUUGGCACCGUUCUAAGAUGGGUCCUCUCUUCGUAGGCUAAUGCAUUGGCCCUUUUUGACCCGUUUUGGGGCGAAAACAAAAACUGACUCCCGGGCAUAUUUUUUUCGGCCUUUAUGGGCAGAGAACUUUAAUACCGCUCAAAAUGAGGCCACCCAGUAGUUAGGUGUGAAUUUUCGAGACCUUUGGCACCGUUCUAAGAUGGGUCCUCUCUUCGUAGGCUAAUGCAUUGGCCCUUUUUGACCCGUUUUGGGGCGAAAACAAAAACUGACUCCCGGGCAUAUUUUUUUCGGCCUUUAUGGGCAGAGAACUUUAAUACCGCUCAAAAUGAGGCCACCCAGUAGUUAGGUGUGAAUUUUCGAGACCUUUGGCACCGUUCUAAGAUGGGUCCUCUCUUCGUAGGCUAAUGCAUUGGCCCUUUUUGACCCGUUUUGGGGCGAAAACAAAAACUGACUCCCGGGCAUAUUUUUUUCGGCCUUUAUGGGCAGAGAACUUUAAUACCGCUCAAAAUGAGGCCACCCAGUAGUUAGGUGUGAAUUUUCGAGACCUUUGGCACCGUUCUAAGAUGGGUCCUCUCUUCGUAGGCUAAUGCAUUGGCCCUUUUUGACCCGUUUUGGGGCGAAAACAAAAACUGACUCCCGGGCAUAUUUUUUUCGGCCUUUAUGGGCAGAGAACUUUAAUACCGCUCAAAAUGAGGCCACCCAGUAGUUAGGUGUGAAUUUUCGAGACCUUUGGCACCGUUCUAAGAUGGGUCCUCUCUUCGUAGGCUAAUGCAUUGGCCCUUUUUGACCCGUUUUGGGGCGAAAACAAAAACUGACUCCCGGGCAUAUUUUUUUCGGCCUUUAUGGGCAGAGAACUUUAAUACCGCUCAAAAUGAGGCCACCCAGUAGUUAGGUGUGAAUUUUCGAGACCUUUGGCACCGUUCUAAGAUGGGUCCUCUCUUCGUAGGCUAAUGCAUUGGCCCUUUUUGACCCGUUUUGGGGCGAAAACAAAAACUGACUCCCGGGCAUAUUUUUUUCGGCCUUUAUGGGCAGAGAACUUUAAUACCGCUCAAAAUGAGGCCACCCAGUAGUUAGGUGUGAAUUUUCGAGACCUUUGGCACCGUUCUAAGAUGGGUCCUCUCUUCGUAGGCUAAUGCAUUGGCCCUUUUUGACCCGUUUUGGGGCGAAAACAAAAACUGACUCCCGGGCAUAUUUUUUUCGGCCUUUAUGGGCAGAGAACUUUAAUACCGCUCAAAAUGAGGCCACCCAGUAGUUAGGUGUGAAUUUUCGAGACCUUUGGCACCGUUCUAAGAUGGGUCCUCUCUUCGUAGGCUAAUGCAUUGGCCCUUUUUGACCCGUUUUGGGGCGAAAACAAAAACUGACUCCCGGGCAUAUUUUUUUCGGCCUUUAUGGGCAGAGAACUUUAAUACCGCUCAAAAUGAGGCCACCCAGUAGUUAGGUGUGAAUUUUCGAGACCUUUGGCACCGUUCUAAGAUGGGUCCUCUCUUCGUAGGCUAAUGCAUUGGCCCUUUUUGACCCGUUUUGGGGCGAAAACAAAAACUGACUCCCGGGCAUAUUUUUUUCGGCCUUUAUGGGCAGAGAACUUUAAUACCGCUCAAAAUGAGGCCACCCAGUAGUUAGGUGUGAAUUUUCGAGACCUUUGGCACCGUUCUAAGAUGGGUCCUCUCUUCGUAGGCUAAUGCAUUGGCCCUUUUUGACCCGUUUUGGGGCGAAAACAAAAACUGACUCCCGGGCAUAUUUUUUUCGGCCUUUAUGGGCAGAGAACUUUAAUACCGCUCAAAAUGAGGCCACCCAGUAGUUAGGUGUGAAUUUUCGAGACCUUUGGCACCGUUCUAAGAUGGGUCCUCUCUUCGUAGGCUAAUGCAUUGGCCCUUUUUGACCCGUUUUGGGGCGAAAACAAAAACUGACUCCCGGGCAUAUUUUUUUCGGCCUUUAUGGGCAGAGAACUUUAAUACCGCUCAAAAUGAGGCCACCCAGUAGUUAGGUGUGAAUUUUCGAGACCUUUGGCACCGUUCUAAGAUGGGUCCUCUCUUCGUAGGCUAAUGCAUUGGCCCUUUUUGACCCGUUUUGGGGCGAAAACAAAAACUGACUCCCGGGCAUAUUUUUUUCGGCCUUUAUGGGCAGAGAACUUUAAUACCGCUCAAAAUGAGGCCACCCAGUAGUUAGGUGUGAAUUUUCGAGACCUUUGGCACCGUUCUAAGAUGGGUCCUCUCUUCGUAGGCUAAUGCAUUGGCCCUUUUUGACCCGUUUUGGGGCGAAAACAAAAACUGACUCCCGGGCAUAUUUUUUUCGGCCUUUAUGGGCAGAGAACUUUAAUACCGCUCAAAAUGAGGCCACCCAGUAGUUAGGUGUGAAUUUUCGAGACCUUUGGCACCGUUCUAAGAUGGGUCCUCUCUUCGUAGGCUAAUGCAUUGGCCCUUUUUGACCCGUUUUGGGGCGAAAACAAAAACUGACUCCCGGGCAUAUUUUUUUCGGCCUUUAUGGGCAGAGAACUUUAAUACCGCUCAAAAUGAGGCCACCCAGUAGUUAGGUGUGAAUUUUCGAGACCUUUGGCACCGUUCUAAGAUGGGUCCUCUCUUCGUAGGCUAAUGCAUUGGCCCUUUUUGACCCGUUUUGGGGCGAAAACAAAAACUGACUCCCGGGCAUAUUUUUUUCGGCCUUUAUGGGCAGAGAACUUUAAUACCGCUCAAAAUGAGGCCACCCAGUAGUUAGGUGUGAAUUUUCGAGACCUUUGGCACCGUUCUAAGAUGGGUCCUCUCUUCGUAGGCUAAUGCAUUGGCCCUUUUUGACCCGUUUUGGGGCGAAAACAAAAACUGACUCCCGGGCAUAUUUUUUUCGGCCUUUAUGGGCAGAGAACUUUAAUACCGCUCAAAAUGAGGCCACCCAGUAGUUAGGUGUGAAUUUUCGAGACCUUUGGCACCGUUCUAAGAUGGGUCCUCUCUUCGUAGGCUAAUGCAUUGGCCCUUUUUGACCCGUUUUGGGGCGAAAACAAAAACUGACUCCCGGGCAUAUUUUUUUCGGCCUUUAUGGGCAGAGAACUUUAAUACCGCUCAAAAUGAGGCCACCCAGUAGUUAGGUGUGAAUUUUCGAGACCUUUGGCACCGUUCUAAGAUGGGUCCUCUCUUCGUAGGCUAAUGCAUUGGCCCUUUUUGACCCGUUUUGGGGCGAAAACAAAAACUGACUCCCGGGCAUAUUUUUUUCGGCCUUUAUGGGCAGAGAACUUUAAUACCGCUCAAAAUGAGGCCACCCAGUAGUUAGGUGUGAAUUUUCGAGACCUUUGGCACCGUUCUAAGAUGGGUCCUCUCUUCGUAGGCUAAUGCAUUGGCCCUUUUUGACCCGUUUUGGGGCGAAAACAAAAACUGACUCCCGGGCAUAUUUUUUUCGGCCUUUAUGGGCAGAGAACUUUAAUACCGCUCAAAAUGAGGCCACCCAGUAGUUAGGUGUGAAUUUUCGAGACCUUUGGCACCGUUCUAAGAUGGGUCCUCUCUUCGUAGGCUAAUGCAUUGGCCCUUUUUGACCCGUUUUGGGGCGAAAACAAAAACUGACUCCCGGGCAUAUUUUUUUCGGCCUUUAUGGGCAGAGAACUUUAAUACCGCUCAAAAUGAGGCCACCCAGUAGUUAGGUGUGAAUUUUCGAGACCUUUGGCACCGUUCUAAGAUGGGUCCUCUCUUCGUAGGCUAAUGCAUUGGCCCUUUUUGACCCGUUUUGGGGCGAAAACAAAAACUGACUCCCGGGCAUAUUUUUUUCGGCCUUUAUGGGCAGAGAACUUUAAUACCGCUCAAAAUGAGGCCACCCAGUAGUUAGGUGUGAAUUUUCGAGACCUUUGGCACCGUUCUAAGAUGGGUCCUCUCUUCGUAGGCUAAUGCAUUGGCCCUUUUUGACCCGUUUUGGGGCGAAAACAAAAACUGACUCCCGGGCAUAUUUUUUUCGGCCUUUAUGGGCAGAGAACUUUAAUACCGCUCAAAAUGAGGCCACCCAGUAGUUAGGUGUGAAUUUUCGAGACCUUUGGCACCGUUCUAAGAUGGGUCCUCUCUUCGUAGGCUAAUGCAUUGGCCCUUUUUGACCCGUUUUGGGGCGAAAACAAAAACUGACUCCCGGGCAUAUUUUUUUCGGCCUUUAUGGGCAGAGAACUUUAAUACCGCUCAAAAUGAGGCCACCCAGUAGUUAGGUGUGAAUUUUCGAGACCUUUGGCACCGUUCUAAGAUGGGUCCUCUCUUCGUAGGCUAAUGCAUUGGCCCUUUUUGACCCGUUUUGGGGCGAAAACAAAAACUGACUCCCGGGCAUAUUUUUUUCGGCCUUUAUGGGCAGAGAACUUUAAUACCGCUCAAAAUGAGGCCACCCAGUAGUUAGGUGUGAAUUUUCGAGACCUUUGGCACCGUUCUAAGAUGGGUCCUCUCUUCGUAGGCUAAUGCAUUGGCCCUUUUUGACCCGUUUUGGGGCGAAAACAAAAACUGACUCCCGGGCAUAUUUUUUUCGGCCUUUAUGGGCAGAGAACUUUAAUACCGCUCAAAAUGAGGCCACCCAGUAGUUAGGUGUGAAUUUUCGAGACCUUUGGCACCGUUCUAAGAUGGGUCCUCUCUUCGUAGGCUAAUGCAUUGGCCCUUUUUGACCCGUUUUGGGGCGAAAACAAAAACUGACUCCCGGGCAUAUUUUUUUCGGCCUUUAUGGGCAGAGAACUUUAAUACCGCUCAAAAUGAGGCCACCCAGUAGUUAGGUGUGAAUUUUCGAGACCUUUGGCACCGUUCUAAGAUGGGUCCUCUCUUCGUAGGCUAAUGCAUUGGCCCUUUUUGACCCGUUUUGGGGCGAAAACAAAAACUGACUCCCGGGCAUAUUUUUUUCGGCCUUUAUGGGCAGAGAACUUUAAUACCGCUCAAAAUGAGGCCACCCAGUAGUUAGGUGUGAAUUUUCGAGACCUUUGGCACCGUUCUAAGAUGGGUCCUCUCUUCGUAGGCUAAUGCAUUGGCCCUUUUUGACCCGUUUUGGGGCGAAAACAAAAACUGACUCCCGGGCAUAUUUUUUUCGGCCUUUAUGGGCAGAGAACUUUAAUACCGCUCAAAAUGAGGCCACCCAGUAGUUAGGUGUGAAUUUUCGAGACCUUUGGCACCGUUCUAAGAUGGGUCCUCUCUUCGUAGGCUAAUGCAUUGGCCCUUUUUGACCCGUUUUGGGGCGAAAACAAAAACUGACUCCCGGGCAUAUUUUUUUCGGCCUUUAUGGGCAGAGAACUUUAAUACCGCUCAAAAUGAGGCCACCCAGUAGUUAGGUGUGAAUUUUCGAGACCUUUGGCACCGUUCUAAGAUGGGUCCUCUCUUCGUAGGCUAAUGCAUUGGCCCUUUUUGACCCGUUUUGGGGCGAAAACAAAAACUGACUCCCGGGCAUAUUUUUUUCGGCCUUUAUGGGCAGAGAACUUUAAUACCGCUCAAAAUGAGGCCACCCAGUAGUUAGGUGUGAAUUUUCGAGACCUUUGGCACCGUUCUAAGAUGGGUCCUCUCUUCGUAGGCUAAUGCAUUGGCCCUUUUUGACCCGUUUUGGGGCGAAAACAAAAACUGACUCCCGGGCAUAUUUUUUUCGGCCUUUAUGGGCAGAGAACUUUAAUACCGCUCAAAAUGAGGCCACCCAGUAGUUAGGUGUGAAUUUUCGAGACCUUUGGCACCGUUCUAAGAUGGGUCCUCUCUUCGUAGGCUAAUGCAUUGGCCCUUUUUGACCCGUUUUGGGGCGAAAACAAAAACUGACUCCCGGGCAUAUUUUUUUCGGCCUUUAUGGGCAGAGAACUUUAAUACCGCUCAAAAUGAGGCCACCCAGUAGUUAGGUGUGAAUUUUCGAGACCUUUGGCACCGUUCUAAGAUGGGUCCUCUCUUCGUAGGCUAAUGCAUUGGCCCUUUUUGACCCGUUUUGGGGCGAAAACAAAAACUGACUCCCGGGCAUAUUUUUUUCGGCCUUUAUGGGCAGAGAACUUUAAUACCGCUCAAAAUGAGGCCACCCAGUAGUUAGGUGUGAAUUUUCGAGACCUUUGGCACCGUUCUAAGAUGGGUCCUCUCUUCGUAGGCUAAUGCAUUGGCCCUUUUUGACCCGUUUUGGGGCGAAAACAAAAACUGACUCCCGGGCAUAUUUUUUUCGGCCUUUAUGGGCAGAGAACUUUAAUACCGCUCAAAAUGAGGCCACCCAGUAGUUAGGUGUGAAUUUUCGAGACCUUUGGCACCGUUCUAAGAUGGGUCCUCUCUUCGUAGGCUAAUGCAUUGGCCCUUUUUGACCCGUUUUGGGGCGAAAACAAAAACUGACUCCCGGGCAUAUUUUUUUCGGCCUUUAUGGGCAGAGAACUUUAAUACCGCUCAAAAUGAGGCCACCCAGUAGUUAGGUGUGAAUUUUCGAGACCUUUGGCACCGUUCUAAGAUGGGUCCUCUCUUCGUAGGCUAAUGCAUUGGCCCUUUUUGACCCGUUUUGGGGCGAAAACAAAAACUGACUCCCGGGCAUAUUUUUUUCGGCCUUUAUGGGCAGAGAACUUUAAUACCGCUCAAAAUGAGGCCACCCAGUAGUUAGGUGUGAAUUUUCGAGACCUUUGGCACCGUUCUAAGAUGGGUCCUCUCUUCGUAGGCUAAUGCAUUGGCCCUUUUUGACCCGUUUUGGGGCGAAAACAAAAACUGACUCCCGGGCAUAUUUUUUUCGGCCUUUAUGGGCAGAGAACUUUAAUACCGCUCAAAAUGAGGCCACCCAGUAGUUAGGUGUGAAUUUUCGAGACCUUUGGCACCGUUCUAAGAUGGGUCCUCUCUUCGUAGGCUAAUGCAUUGGCCCUUUUUGACCCGUUUUGGGGCGAAAACAAAAACUGACUCCCGGGCAUAUUUUUUUCGGCCUUUAUGGGCAGAGAACUUUAAUACCGCUCAAAAUGAGGCCACCCAGUAGUUAGGUGUGAAUUUUCGAGACCUUUGGCACCGUUCUAAGAUGGGUCCUCUCUUCGUAGGCUAAUGCAUUGGCCCUUUUUGACCCGUUUUGGGGCGAAAACAAAAACUGACUCCCGGGCAUAUUUUUUUCGGCCUUUAUGGGCAGAGAACUUUAAUACCGCUCAAAAUGAGGCCACCCAGUAGUUAGGUGUGAAUUUUCGAGACCUUUGGCACCGUUCUAAGAUGGGUCCUCUCUUCGUAGGCUAAUGCAUUGGCCCUUUUUGACCCGUUUUGGGGCGAAAACAAAAACUGACUCCCGGGCAUAUUUUUUUCGGCCUUUAUGGGCAGAGAACUUUAAUACCGCUCAAAAUGAGGCCACCCAGUAGUUAGGUGUGAAUUUUCGAGACCUUUGGCACCGUUCUAAGAUGGGUCCUCUCUUCGUAGGCUAAUGCAUUGGCCCUUUUUGACCCGUUUUGGGGCGAAAACAAAAACUGACUCCCGGGCAUAUUUUUUUCGGCCUUUAUGGGCAGAGAACUUUAAUACCGCUCAAAAUGAGGCCACCCAGUAGUUAGGUGUGAAUUUUCGAGACCUUUGGCACCGUUCUAAGAUGGGUCCUCUCUUCGUAGGCUAAUGCAUUGGCCCUUUUUGACCCGUUUUGGGGCGAAAACAAAAACUGACUCCCGGGCAUAUUUUUUUCGGCCUUUAUGGGCAGAGAACUUUAAUACCGCUCAAAAUGAGGCCACCCAGUAGUUAGGUGUGAAUUUUCGAGACCUUUGGCACCGUUCUAAGAUGGGUCCUCUCUUCGUAGGCUAAUGCAUUGGCCCUUUUUGACCCGUUUUGGGGCGAAAACAAAAACUGACUCCCGGGCAUAUUUUUUUCGGCCUUUAUGGGCAGAGAACUUUAAUACCGCUCAAAAUGAGGCCACCCAGUAGUUAGGUGUGAAUUUUCGAGACCUUUGGCACCGUUCUAAGAUGGGUCCUCUCUUCGUAGGCUAAUGCAUUGGCCCUUUUUGACCCGUUUUGGGGCGAAAACAAAAACUGACUCCCGGGCAUAUUUUUUUCGGCCUUUAUGGGCAGAGAACUUUAAUACCGCUCAAAAUGAGGCCACCCAGUAGUUAGGUGUGAAUUUUCGAGACCUUUGGCACCGUUCUAAGAUGGGUCCUCUCUUCGUAGGCUAAUGCAUUGGCCCUUUUUGACCCGUUUUGGGGCGAAAACAAAAACUGACUCCCGGGCAUAUUUUUUUCGGCCUUUAUGGGCAGAGAACUUUAAUACCGCUCAAAAUGAGGCCACCCAGUAGUUAGGUGUGAAUUUUCGAGACCUUUGGCACCGUUCUAAGAUGGGUCCUCUCUUCGUAGGCUAAUGCAUUGGCCCUUUUUGACCCGUUUUGGGGCGAAAACAAAAACUGACUCCCGGGCAUAUUUUUUUCGGCCUUUAUGGGCAGAGAACUUUAAUACCGCUCAAAAUGAGGCCACCCAGUAGUUAGGUGUGAAUUUUCGAGACCUUUGGCACCGUUCUAAGAUGGGUCCUCUCUUCGUAGGCUAAUGCAUUGGCCCUUUUUGACCCGUUUUGGGGCGAAAACAAAAACUGACUCCCGGGCAUAUUUUUUUCGGCCUUUAUGGGCAGAGAACUUUAAUACCGCUCAAAAUGAGGCCACCCAGUAGUUAGGUGUGAAUUUUCGAGACCUUUGGCACCGUUCUAAGAUGGGUCCUCUCUUCGUAGGCUAAUGCAUUGGCCCUUUUUGACCCGUUUUGGGGCGAAAACAAAAACUGACUCCCGGGCAUAUUUUUUUCGGCCUUUAUGGGCAGAGAACUUUAAUACCGCUCAAAAUGAGGCCACCCAGUAGUUAGGUGUGAAUUUUCGAGACCUUUGGCACCGUUCUAAGAUGGGUCCUCUCUUCGUAGGCUAAUGCAUUGGCCCUUUUUGACCCGUUUUGGGGCGAAAACAAAAACUGACUCCCGGGCAUAUUUUUUUCGGCCUUUAUGGGCAGAGAACUUUAAUACCGCUCAAAAUGAGGCCACCCAGUAGUUAGGUGUGAAUUUUCGAGACCUUUGGCACCGUUCUAAGAUGGGUCCUCUCUUCGUAGGCUAAUGCAUUGGCCCUUUUUGACCCGUUUUGGGGCGAAAACAAAAACUGACUCCCGGGCAUAUUUUUUUCGGCCUUUAUGGGCAGAGAACUUUAAUACCGCUCAAAAUGAGGCCACCCAGUAGUUAGGUGUGAAUUUUCGAGACCUUUGGCACCGUUCUAAGAUGGGUCCUCUCUUCGUAGGCUAAUGCAUUGGCCCUUUUUGACCCGUUUUGGGGCGAAAACAAAAACUGACUCCCGGGCAUAUUUUUUUCGGCCUUUAUGGGCAGAGAACUUUAAUACCGCUCAAAAUGAGGCCACCCAGUAGUUAGGUGUGAAUUUUCGAGACCUUUGGCACCGUUCUAAGAUGGGUCCUCUCUUCGUAGGCUAAUGCAUUGGCCCUUUUUGACCCGUUUUGGGGCGAAAACAAAAACUGACUCCCGGGCAUAUUUUUUUCGGCCUUUAUGGGCAGAGAACUUUAAUACCGCUCAAAAUGAGGCCACCCAGUAGUUAGGUGUGAAUUUUCGAGACCUUUGGCACCGUUCUAAGAUGGGUCCUCUCUUCGUAGGCUAAUGCAUUGGCCCUUUUUGACCCGUUUUGGGGCGAAAACAAAAACUGACUCCCGGGCAUAUUUUUUUCGGCCUUUAUGGGCAGAGAACUUUAAUACCGCUCAAAAUGAGGCCACCCAGUAGUUAGGUGUGAAUUUUCGAGACCUUUGGCACCGUUCUAAGAUGGGUCCUCUCUUCGUAGGCUAAUGCAUUGGCCCUUUUUGACCCGUUUUGGGGCGAAAACAAAAACUGACUCCCGGGCAUAUUUUUUUCGGCCUUUAUGGGCAGAGAACUUUAAUACCGCUCAAAAUGAGGCCACCCAGUAGUUAGGUGUGAAUUUUCGAGACCUUUGGCACCGUUCUAAGAUGGGUCCUCUCUUCGUAGGCUAAUGCAUUGGCCCUUUUUGACCCGUUUUGGGGCGAAAACAAAAACUGACUCCCGGGCAUAUUUUUUUCGGCCUUUAUGGGCAGAGAACUUUAAUACCGCUCAAAAUGAGGCCACCCAGUAGUUAGGUGUGAAUUUUCGAGACCUUUGGCACCGUUCUAAGAUGGGUCCUCUCUUCGUAGGCUAAUGCAUUGGCCCUUUUUGACCCGUUUUGGGGCGAAAACAAAAACUGACUCCCGGGCAUAUUUUUUUCGGCCUUUAUGGGCAGAGAACUUUAAUACCGCUCAAAAUGAGGCCACCCAGUAGUUAGGUGUGAAUUUUCGAGACCUUUGGCACCGUUCUAAGAUGGGUCCUCUCUUCGUAGGCUAAUGCAUUGGCCCUUUUUGACCCGUUUUGGGGCGAAAACAAAAACUGACUCCCGGGCAUAUUUUUUUCGGCCUUUAUGGGCAGAGAACUUUAAUACCGCUCAAAAUGAGGCCACCCAGUAGUUAGGUGUGAAUUUUCGAGACCUUUGGCACCGUUCUAAGAUGGGUCCUCUCUUCGUAGGCUAAUGCAUUGGCCCUUUUUGACCCGUUUUGGGGCGAAAACAAAAACUGACUCCCGGGCAUAUUUUUUUCGGCCUUUAUGGGCAGAGAACUUUAAUACCGCUCAAAAUGAGGCCACCCAGUAGUUAGGUGUGAAUUUUCGAGACCUUUGGCACCGUUCUAAGAUGGGUCCUCUCUUCGUAGGCUAAUGCAUUGGCCCUUUUUGACCCGUUUUGGGGCGAAAACAAAAACUGACUCCCGGGCAUAUUUUUUUCGGCCUUUAUGGGCAGAGAACUUUAAUACCGCUCAAAAUGAGGCCACCCAGUAGUUAGGUGUGAAUUUUCGAGACCUUUGGCACCGUUCUAAGAUGGGUCCUCUCUUCGUAGGCUAAUGCAUUGGCCCUUUUUGACCCGUUUUGGGGCGAAAACAAAAACUGACUCCCGGGCAUAUUUUUUUCGGCCUUUAUGGGCAGAGAACUUUAAUACCGCUCAAAAUGAGGCCACCCAGUAGUUAGGUGUGAAUUUUCGAGACCUUUGGCACCGUUCUAAGAUGGGUCCUCUCUUCGUAGGCUAAUGCAUUGGCCCUUUUUGACCCGUUUUGGGGCGAAAACAAAAACUGACUCCCGGGCAUAUUUUUUUCGGCCUUUAUGGGCAGAGAACUUUAAUACCGCUCAAAAUGAGGCCACCCAGUAGUUAGGUGUGAAUUUUCGAGACCUUUGGCACCGUUCUAAGAUGGGUCCUCUCUUCGUAGGCUAAUGCAUUGGCCCUUUUUGACCCGUUUUGGGGCGAAAACAAAAACUGACUCCCGGGCAUAUUUUUUUCGGCCUUUAUGGGCAGAGAACUUUAAUACCGCUCAAAAUGAGGCCACCCAGUAGUUAGGUGUGAAUUUUCGAGACCUUUGGCACCGUUCUAAGAUGGGUCCUCUCUUCGUAGGCUAAUGCAUUGGCCCUUUUUGACCCGUUUUGGGGCGAAAACAAAAACUGACUCCCGGGCAUAUUUUUUUCGGCCUUUAUGGGCAGAGAACUUUAAUACCGCUCAAAAUGAGGCCACCCAGUAGUUAGGUGUGAAUUUUCGAGACCUUUGGCACCGUUCUAAGAUGGGUCCUCUCUUCGUAGGCUAAUGCAUUGGCCCUUUUUGACCCGUUUUGGGGCGAAAACAAAAACUGACUCCCGGGCAUAUUUUUUUCGGCCUUUAUGGGCAGAGAACUUUAAUACCGCUCAAAAUGAGGCCACCCAGUAGUUAGGUGUGAAUUUUCGAGACCUUUGGCACCGUUCUAAGAUGGGUCCUCUCUUCGUAGGCUAAUGCAUUGGCCCUUUUUGACCCGUUUUGGGGCGAAAACAAAAACUGACUCCCGGGCAUAUUUUUUUCGGCCUUUAUGGGCAGAGAACUUUAAUACCGCUCAAAAUGAGGCCACCCAGUAGUUAGGUGUGAAUUUUCGAGACCUUUGGCACCGUUCUAAGAUGGGUCCUCUCUUCGUAGGCUAAUGCAUUGGCCCUUUUUGACCCGUUUUGGGGCGAAAACAAAAACUGACUCCCGGGCAUAUUUUUUUCGGCCUUUAUGGGCAGAGAACUUUAAUACCGCUCAAAAUGAGGCCACCCAGUAGUUAGGUGUGAAUUUUCGAGACCUUUGGCACCGUUCUAAGAUGGGUCCUCUCUUCGUAGGCUAAUGCAUUGGCCCUUUUUGACCCGUUUUGGGGCGAAAACAAAAACUGACUCCCGGGCAUAUUUUUUUCGGCCUUUAUGGGCAGAGAACUUUAAUACCGCUCAAAAUGAGGCCACCCAGUAGUUAGGUGUGAAUUUUCGAGACCUUUGGCACCGUUCUAAGAUGGGUCCUCUCUUCGUAGGCUAAUGCAUUGGCCCUUUUUGACCCGUUUUGGGGCGAAAACAAAAACUGACUCCCGGGCAUAUUUUUUUCGGCCUUUAUGGGCAGAGAACUUUAAUACCGCUCAAAAUGAGGCCACCCAGUAGUUAGGUGUGAAUUUUCGAGACCUUUGGCACCGUUCUAAGAUGGGUCCUCUCUUCGUAGGCUAAUGCAUUGGCCCUUUUUGACCCGUUUUGGGGCGAAAACAAAAACUGACUCCCGGGCAUAUUUUUUUCGGCCUUUAUGGGCAGAGAACUUUAAUACCGCUCAAAAUGAGGCCACCCAGUAGUUAGGUGUGAAUUUUCGAGACCUUUGGCACCGUUCUAAGAUGGGUCCUCUCUUCGUAGGCUAAUGCAUUGGCCCUUUUUGACCCGUUUUGGGGCGAAAACAAAAACUGACUCCCGGGCAUAUUUUUUUCGGCCUUUAUGGGCAGAGAACUUUAAUACCGCUCAAAAUGAGGCCACCCAGUAGUUAGGUGUGAAUUUUCGAGACCUUUGGCACCGUUCUAAGAUGGGUCCUCUCUUCGUAGGCUAAUGCAUUGGCCCUUUUUGACCCGUUUUGGGGCGAAAACAAAAACUGACUCCCGGGCAUAUUUUUUUCGGCCUUUAUGGGCAGAGAACUUUAAUACCGCUCAAAAUGAGGCCACCCAGUAGUUAGGUGUGAAUUUUCGAGACCUUUGGCACCGUUCUAAGAUGGGUCCUCUCUUCGUAGGCUAAUGCAUUGGCCCUUUUUGACCCGUUUUGGGGCGAAAACAAAAACUGACUCCCGGGCAUAUUUUUUUCGGCCUUUAUGGGCAGAGAACUUUAAUACCGCUCAAAAUGAGGCCACCCAGUAGUUAGGUGUGAAUUUUCGAGACCUUUGGCACCGUUCUAAGAUGGGUCCUCUCUUCGUAGGCUAAUGCAUUGGCCCUUUUUGACCCGUUUUGGGGCGAAAACAAAAACUGACUCCCGGGCAUAUUUUUUUCGGCCUUUAUGGGCAGAGAACUUUAAUACCGCUCAAAAUGAGGCCACCCAGUAGUUAGGUGUGAAUUUUCGAGACCUUUGGCACCGUUCUAAGAUGGGUCCUCUCUUCGUAGGCUAAUGCAUUGGCCCUUUUUGACCCGUUUUGGGGCGAAAACAAAAACUGACUCCCGGGCAUAUUUUUUUCGGCCUUUAUGGGCAGAGAACUUUAAUACCGCUCAAAAUGAGGCCACCCAGUAGUUAGGUGUGAAUUUUCGAGACCUUUGGCACCGUUCUAAGAUGGGUCCUCUCUUCGUAGGCUAAUGCAUUGGCCCUUUUUGACCCGUUUUGGGGCGAAAACAAAAACUGACUCCCGGGCAUAUUUUUUUCGGCCUUUAUGGGCAGAGAACUUUAAUACCGCUCAAAAUGAGGCCACCCAGUAGUUAGGUGUGAAUUUUCGAGACCUUUGGCACCGUUCUAAGAUGGGUCCUCUCUUCGUAGGCUAAUGCAUUGGCCCUUUUUGACCCGUUUUGGGCGAAAACAAAAACUGACUCCCGGGCAUAUUUUUUUCGGCCUUUAUGGGCAGAGAACUUUAAUACCGCUCAAAAUGAGGCCACCCAGUAGUUAGGUGUGAAUUUUCGAGACCUUUGGCACCGUUCUAAGAUGGGUCCUCUCUUCGUAGGCUAAUGCAUUGGCCCUUUUUGACCCGUUUUGGGGCGAAAACAAAAACUGACUCCCGGGCAUAUUUUUUUCGGCCUUUAUGGGCAGAGAACUUUAAUACCGCUCAAAAUGAGGCCACCCAGUAGUUAGGUGUGAAUUUUCGAGACCUUUGGCACCGUUCUAAGAUGGGUCCUCUCUUCGUAGGCAUUGGCCCUUUUUCCCGUUUUGACGAAAACAAAAACUGACUCCCGGGCAUUUUUUUCGGCCUUUAUGGGCAGAGAACUUUAAUACCGCUCGGCAGAGACCCUUUUUGGUGUGAAUUUUCGAGACCUUUGGCACCGUUCUAAGAUGU
Molecule: long non-coding RNA, 57272 nt
Filed under: Cucumis sativus (cucumber)
Lineage: Eukaryota; Viridiplantae; Streptophyta; Magnoliopsida; Cucurbitales; Cucurbitaceae
Description: long non-coding RNA (CSAT_LNC000466)
Source: RNAcentral